CGACCUUACUUGAACAGGAUCUGUUCUAUAGGUUCGUACCUCUGUAUCCUUAAGUUCUAAGGAGACAGGAACUGAAAUCUGGUGGAUGAUCUAUGACUCUGUGAUCAGAGCGUGAUUAACGGCUAGAUGAACUUCUCCUCGGAUUAGUGAAAUCUCCAGCUGUAGAGGAUCGUUCCUGGUCAGCAGUGGCUUAGGAUGGUCACAGAGUUGUCUGACAGAUUCUCUAAAGUAAUUUUAAUUUUUUGGAAAAUUCAGAUUCUCUUAAAAUAUUACUCUUGUUUUUGUAUGUUAUUAAAAACACAUUGCAAAAAUAUGAGAUCUACAUAAAUUAUUUAUGUAUUUCAUUGUAAAAUUAGAUAAAAAAAAAUAUUAAUAAAGUUUACUUGUGCUAAGUUUUUAAAAAGAGGUACAUUAAGUUUAGAAAGAAUUGACACAAAAAAUAUUAAACUAAAUAAUAUUAAGAAUAAAGAAAAAAUAUAAAUUAAAAUAUAUAAUAAAAAUAUAAUGUAUUAUGAUCUAAAUUAAAAAAAGAAAUCACUUGUCUUUAUCUAAAUUUGGUCAGUUAUCCUAAAACCUAAUUUAAUAUUAAAUUGAAAAAAUACAAUGGAAAAUGCUUUGUAGUGAUUAUGUCAGACGAAUGAAGCAAUGCUAAAAACUGAUGGAGGAGACUUCCAUUGAUUUUGACAGACGAUUUGAUUACGGAUAAAAUAUAUUUUAAUACACGUUUUAAACUCAUUGUUUUGUUAUUAAUAUGUGAUUCAACAUGGUGUUCUUUAUUUAGUAAUUCUUUUAAAAUAAUUAUUAUUUAAUUAACCUUUGAAAUAACUUUUUUAAAAUAAACAAGUAUUUCUUUAGAUUUUAUCAGCACCAGACUGUAUUAAUAAGGGGCCAUGAUUUUGUUUUUAGUAGUUUUUUUAAUAGAAUUAUUUAUUAAGUCGUGUUAUGCAAAUUGAUAAAGAAUAUUAAAAAACUUUACUCAUUAUAUAUCUUAGUUCAUCAUUUUUUAGUAUUAACAGUGUUUUUUAAGACUCUUUUUUAAUAAAUUGUUACGAAAAUGAUGUACUUUCUGUCAUUUAUUUUGGCUAGAUUAGAAGCGAAGUCAGCGUAGGAAUAGAUGAUUACUAAAAUGAGAUAUUGAUUACCACAAAGUAAAAAAAGAAAAAAAAAAAAAAAAAGUAAAAAAUCAAGAGCCGAUAAAAUCACCGGUGUGUGCUGGUAACCUUCGAACACAACACAUGGAAGUGACUCUGACGAGCUUGCUUCAUCACCGCUGUGCAUGAUCACUAAGUGGAAGGUGUUCCAUCUUCCAUUUUCGCAGACAAAUUAAGAAAAAUUAUAUUUUUUCACCUUUUCUUUGGCGUCUGAAACUGUUUUCCUUUCAUGGGUGAAUCCACCAUUCCUCAUUUUCAGCAUCUAAUGGCGAAAAAAUUGCUCUUUUUGUUGACCCUUUUGGAAAUACUCCUCUGUGGGCAAUCCAAGUUUAUGGUGUACAAUACAUCACAGGGUAUAGUCCCUGACAAGCUCAAUGUUCAUCUGGUAGCUCAUACUCAUGACGAUGUUGGUUGGUUGAAGACCGUUGAUCAGUACUAUGUUGGUUCUAACAAUUCAAUUCAGGUGUUUAUUUAAUUCUCUUUCUUUGGCUAAACUUGUGAACAAUGGUGUCUGAAGAUUGCAAGUUGAGGGUCUUGUUUGCUAUGUUGCAAUGUGCAGGGCGCUUGUGUGCAGAAUGUGUUGGACUCUAUGGUGCACGCGCUGUUGGCUGACAAGAACAGAAAGUUUAUCUAUGUUGAGAUGGUAAGUUGGCUUCUUUUGAGUCCCUUAUAUGUUGUUUUCUUGAGUUUCUUUGUUGGAUCAAAGUGCUACUGCUCGUGACAAGAGGAAAUUUUGAAGUUGCUUUUUUGGGCUAAAAGUAGUGCUGUGAUGUUCCAAGACACAAUCCGGCAAAGCAUUUCAUUUCCUUUAUGUAGUUCAUGCCUUCCUCUGCAACUUUUUGUACCAAAUUCAUGAUUUAUAUUUCACAUCCUUCUUGUGGCAACAGAUUAAUGUUGCUCCUACAACAAGUUUGAAUUACCUAGACUGUUAAUGCUCGUGACAUUGACAAAUAGGAAUACUAAGAAAAUGAGGAAAACUAUGUUUUUGAAAAUAUGGACUACUUUUAAGGCUUUCUUUAAAUGCUAGUGUGAAAUAUUCUCUCUUGGGAUCAACUCGGUGCGGCUGUGUGAUAGGAUUAACUAGCUAAUGAAAUUGAUGGAUAGGAAUAUCGAGAAAAUUUGACGAUUUGUCUAACACCAAGGCGUCAACUCCAUAUAUAUUUAAAUUCCUUCUACAUUUCCUGUUUUUGUUCCUACCCUGUCAAUGUUUAUAUGCUUGAACGUAGCAUGCAACUAUAUGUUCAUUUUACGUGUUGGCUGUUUCUUCUUAAUUCUUUCACUUUCGUCAAUGCAGGCAUUUUUCAAGAGAUGGUGGAGAGAUCAAAGUGAAGCUGUUCAGGAUGUUGUUAAGAAACUUGUUAGUUCGGGUCAACUAGAGUUCAUGUAAGUACCUUUCUGACUACAGAUUUCAAUGCAAUUAACAACAAAGUCAUUCUUCAAUUGUGAAAUGAAAGCCAUCCUUCACUGUGAAAACAAACUGAUUAAGAAUUCCUUUGUGAGGGUUCCAAUAUCUAUGGGCAAUUAUCUCUCCAUUAUGGUAUUCUUCAAUCGUCUUUUAUUUAGGGAAUGAUGCUAUUUCUUUCCUUUAUUUUCUCCUUGUUACAGAAAUGGCGCCAUGUCUAUGCAUGAUGAAGCAGUUACACAUUACAUAGACAUGAUUGAUCAGACUGCACUUGGUCAUCAAUUUCUGAAAGAGGAAUUUGGUGUGACUCCUAGAAUUGGUUGGCAAAUUGAUCCUUUUGGACACUCUGCUGUGCAGGCCUACCUGUUGGGAGCUGAAGUAUGGCAUAGAUCUUCAAACAAUGAAUCUUAUCAUGACUCUCAAAUUUAGAAAGAAUAUGUUUCUCUUGUAUUUCAAUAAUGAGGGCAAUGGACCUAUAAAUACACAAGCUUGGUAGUUAUUUUGGGAAAUAUAGAUAGCUAAUUCUAAGGAAACAAAUCCCUAUAACUAUGGGAUUGUUUUUAAAUACAUAAUCCUAGCAUUAAUACCAAGAUACACAUGCAAUAAAGAAUAAAAUUAUAGCAGGAAUGUUAUAAACACUUUCUAAAAUACAUAAUGAGCAAAGCAUGAUUUUGAUAAUGACUAAUGAAUAUAUUUUGAAGAAGAUAUAUGUCAAAAGCAUUAUUUGCUAUGUGGGUUAUCAAUUGGUUCUAAUUUGUAUGCAGGUUGGCUUUGACUCACUUUUCUUUGGUCGGAUAGACUACCAAGAUAGGGCUAACCGCAAAAAGGAGAAGAGUCUUGAGGUUAUCUGGCAGGGUAGUAAGAGCCUUGGCUCUUCAGCCCAGGUGAAUAUCAAGAAAUAUGUUUCUUUUCUCUUUAAAUAUUUUAUGGUUGUCUUUGUUAGAGAUCCUACAUUGACUAGGAAUAAUUUUGUGAGGUUGAAUUAGACAUAAGUUUACUUACCAAGAGUCUUUGUAUUUUUAUGAUUGGUUUCUCUUAAAUUAAAUGUUUCCUUUUAUUAUGUUGAGUAUCCUUUUUGUUCUUGCAGAUUUUUGCUGGAGCAUUCCCUGAAAAUUAUGAGCCACCUGCUGGAUUUUACUUUGAAGUUAAUGAUAACUCACCGAUAGUUCAAGUAAUAUUAUAAGAACUUGUUAAUUUUGUUAUCACAUAUAACUAUUUUAGUUCAUUGUUAUGCUAAACUUUGCUUACUUCUUCCUGAAGGAUAACAUGGAAUUGUUUGAUUACAAUGUCCAAGAACGAGUGAAUGACUUUGUUGCAGCUGCAUUAUCGCAAGUAAGUUCAGCAUGUUUAUCUUCAGAUUUCUUAAAAAUGUUAUUUGAAUUUUGAGAUGCAAGAAUAUCAUUAGAAAUUAAAAAUUGAAUUGAGUGAUUGAGAGGUGUUGGGUCUUUCGAGGAGAAUUCACCAAGGAGAUUCAAUGAGCCAAACUCGCGUAAGAUAUUAAUGUAAGUGUUAGAAGUCCCACAUCGACUAGAGAUAAAGUCAAUUUAAAGUAUAUAAAUGGGUGUAAACCUUAUUUUACAAAUUGGUUUUGUAGGACUGGGUUAAAGUCCACCACUUAACAUGUUGGCUCAAGUCAUCUCCCAAUGAAUUUGAUUUAUUAUUUCACUUAAAAUAGUACCAUCUUUUCUUUUCCAUCUUUAAGAACUCUUCUCCAAGCUUAUGAUCUUAGCUUCUCUUAACCACUGAAAAAAUCUCCAAUUCAGCCAUGCUUGCAUUGUCUAUAGGGCAUUAGAUGAUUCAGAAUUGUAUCAUCUAUAGAAAGAUGACUUAUGAGAUUGCUUUCAUUUCAACUACACAAAGCACACAUUAGAACAUUUAGGAAACAUCUAUCCAAUUAUAUAAUGUUAAAUGUAAUUAGCUGUUACAGAUUUGUAGGAAAUUAACAGUUACAUGUUUUAGGAAAUUAGGAUGAUUGAUUCCUGAUUAUUAAGAGUUAUAUAAUUGAUUUUAUAAAUUAGUAUAAAUACAUACUGUGUGGUCUGCAUUACACACACAAUAUAUUUAGUAAAUAUAUCAUUCUAUAUGGUACAUAGUUUAGGGUUUCAAUCUUUGAUCUCCAGUUUUCUAUUUUUUCGGGUGAACAAUACUCGCAGCCACUGUGUGUCACUUUUUCCGUCACCUAAUGUCCCUUCAUUUUGGUGACCACUGCAACCAGAACUGCCUUCCUCCGGUUUAAAGUACAUAUUAUCACAAUUGACCACCACACUUCAUUUGCUGCUUCUGUCCACUUCUGCACCCGCCCAUACGUGUGACCUCUUUCCAGAGCAUACAUUUCACACGCCCAUCUCAGAUUUUUUUUUUCUUUUUUUUUUCAUUUCGACACAUUAUCCAAUUAUAUAACAUUCAGGAAACAUCUAUCCAAUUAUAUAACAUCAUCAACACUCAUGUCAGACAUGAUUUAUCAAGUCAUCUAGGCAAAUUCUAUAGACUAGACUCUCUAAUUAAACUUAUCUAACUAGAUCAUAUAGUGCCUUUCCUCUACCUAGAACACCUAUCAUCUAACAUGGUUUAAAAAGAUGAUUUUAAUGCAUAAUUUGAUUUAAAGUUCAUAUUAUCACAAUUGAUCAAAUCCCAGUUAAAACAAUGGAUUUUUAAACUCAAUUAUAGCUCAAGAUAGCUAUAAUUAAGUAUUCUAAAAGCAGGAAAACAAAUCUUUAGUGAUGUAAAAAAUCAUUACUGUCAUGGGGACAAUGACCAGGCUUACUAUCCAUGACAAAAUACUUACGAACACAAAACUCAGACACAUUAGAUUUUGUAGUAUAAUUGCAUAAAUUACCAAUCAGAAUAAAUUUUUUUAUUUUUAUGUCUUGAUUAAGGCAUAUGUUUACUAUCUAGCUGAAUAAGAUUUCUCCUAUACAAAUCGAAUCAACAACCAAAAAAUUGAAUGACUAGCCUUACCAACUUGUUCCAAUUUCCAUAAUUGGUUUUUGUUGUGGAAUAACUCAAAACAAUUUCGCUGCAUAAGCGUCUACCAUACAAUAACAUGAUAUUAGAUAAACUGCAAAAUAAACAAUUAGAAGGUAAAAAAAGGAAGAAUAAGGAAAAAUCACAAUAGAAAAUAAGGUGGUUAAAUUGAAGUGCUAAAAAUUACAGCUUGAAGUUUCUCUCUAAGUGAAGUUGAACAACAACUUUCAAUUGAAAAAAUUGUUGAUAUAUCUUCCUAUUUAUGCAGCAUAACUACCUUAAUAACUUCCAUAAAUCACACCUAAACAAGCCAAGAAAAAUAUGUGAACAUUGCUUUCACUACUGAGUUUGAAACGUCACUUAUGUAGACUCUUUAGAUGAUACGAGUCAAAGAGGAAGUUAAAGUCCGGAUGCAAGUAGACAAUCUGAUGUCAUCAAAUGCUUUUAUAAAAGACAAAAGCACUGAUGAAGAUGUCCUGAUGAAGUCAGACUCACUUGAACCAUUAGAUGAUCUGGAAGAGUUAGACGAACUAGGAACCUUAAAAGGGUUUUACCGAGUCAGUCCUCAAAGUUUUCAAAAGGAAUAAAUUAAACUGUAAACAAGAACUCAACCAUGACCUUAAAUUUAAAGCAAAUGGAAAAAACAGAAAAAGAUAAUAUUAGUAUGUAAUAAUCUAUCAGAUUUUCUUAUAGUUGGCGCUUUUAAAAGAUGUUUCCAACCUUCUUUAAUGGAAAUCCAUUUCAACCAAACUGACAUGUUCUUAACUUGAAGCUUGAAUAUGAAUUUUAAUUUUGCUAUUGAGUUUUUGGAAUAGCGGGAACCUUGAUUGCUUUUAUUUACGCUAUUUUAUUUUUAGGCAAACAUAACUCGAACAAAUCAUAUCAUGUGGACAAUGGGAACUGAUUUUAAGUAUCAAUAUGCACAUACAUGGUUCCGGCAGCUGGACAAACUCAUUCAUUAUGUAAACAAGGUAACUCACUCGUAUACAUGAAUUUAUUUGUUUGUGGUUUGACUUCAUGUCUUUAUUCUUGUUAUUAUGAAUUCUGAUUGUUAAAUAUUUUUCAACUUUAGGAUGGACGUGUUAAUGCUCUGUACUCUACGCCAUCCAUAUAUACUGAUUCAAAAUUUGCUACCAAUGAGUACUGGCCAAUCAAGACUGAUGAUUUCUUCCCGUGAGUUUAAUAUGUAGCUGUUUCAUAAUCCAUUUUGCUUAAUUAUUAUAUUUUUGUAUGGUAUGACGUUUCUCCUCAUAUACCCAUGAACAAAAUACCAGUUAUGCAGAUCGUGCAAAUGGUUACUGGACAGGAUACUUUACCAGUAGACCAGCAAUCAAACGCUAUGUCAGAUUAAUGAGUGGCUACUACUUGGUAUGAUUUGUAUAUUUAUAGUUUACAAGGUAAUAAUCAUCUUUAGUCCACUAGUUUUUGGAUAUUUACUUUCUACAAAAAAAUUAUUAGGCUGCAAGACAACUAGAAUUUUUUAGGGGGAGAAGGAAUUCAGGGCCAAAUACAGACUCGUUAGCUGAUGCUUUAGCAAUUGCUCAACACCACGAUGCAGUCACUGGCACAGAAAAGCAGCAUGUUGCCAAUGAUUAUUCUAAACGGUUGGCAAUAGGCUACAAGGAGGUGCAGUUUCAGAGUCUGUUUCAAGUUACUCUGUAUAACCAUUUGUUAGUGAAUCGUCUAGUGGCAUAUUGUUUUUUUGCAGGCAGAGGAAUUGGUUUCAUCCUCACUGGCCAGCUUGGUUGAAUCACCAUUGCAUUCUAGAUGUCAAAACCCAGUUACAAAGUUUCAACAAGUAAAAGAUCUAGAAUCUUUUUAAGUUUGUUCACUAUUUGUAUUAUUUGCUGAAAUGGCUUGCUUCUUCCUUGUCUUAAUUUUUUUUUUUUCAAAAUUUUAGCUGUUGAUAAAUGAUUUCUUAUCCUUUAUUAUUUCUUAGCUCAAUUACCGUUUGGUGUAUGUCAUGUCAAACCUGAUUUUGUUUUAGCUGUUGAUAAAUGAGCUUUGUGCCUUCCCCUUUAUCACAAAAAAGAUUAUAAUAACUAUUAGAUAUGAUAGUUUUUUAUUAUCAUAUUUAAGUUCGAGUUUUUUAUAUUUUCAAUAUACUUUUUCCUUUUUCAUAUUUUACAGUGUCCACUUUUGAACAUAAGUUAUUGUCCUGCAUCAGAAGUUGAUCUGGUUCGAGGGAAGAAUUUGGUAAAAUUCAUCACAUAUUUUGUUAUCCUUUCAUCAGUUAUAUUGUUUUAUAUUUAUUUCUUAAAUUCUAUCUUCUCACGAGUUUUUUCCAUGCUUAGGUCAUUGUGGUUUACAACUCUCUUGGUUGGAGGAGGAAUGAAGUCAUUCGAUUUCCAGUGAGUGAUGUCACUCUAGUAUUUGUUGAUUGUUCUAAAUUCAGUGUAUGGUGGAACAUAGAGAAGUUAAAACUAAAACGAUGAAAAUAAUCAUAAUCUUUAUCUUUUUUGCUCAUCUAGUGGUCUUCAAUCAUGAAAUAUUAAUGUAUCUUCAAUAUGUUAGAAAGUUCUUGGAGAAACUGAUAUGAUAUUUUAUUAUUUUUAUCUGUGUGAAGCUGAAUACAAAAGGGAGCAUUUAUAAUGGCUACCCUUGAUAGCAAAAACCCAAAAUGCCCAAAACAAACUCACCAAAUUUAUAUUUAUUUAGUCUAUUGCAUCCUAAUAAAAGUCAGAUGUAAAAUACACCAACUGACUAUGUUAGUUAUCAAAUGAGCUGACAUAAUCAGUUACCAACUAAGCGUGUAUGUUGGGAAGUCUGAUAUCCGCUGCCUCAAUUCUUGGAGUGAAGCAUAUAUAACUAUUAGAAAACUUCAAUUGAUAAAAAUUAGUUUUAAGUUGAAAUUUGACAUGGUAUCAAAGCUUAUUGAUAACAAUUAGUUUUGAUAGGCUGCCAUGGUUUGACAAGCAUCUAUAGAGGGGUGAUGUUGAGAAUGUCCAACAUUGUCUGUCCCAAUUCUUGGAGUAUGGUUUAUAUAUGUAUUGGGAAAGUUCGCAUAAUCCAAAUUGGUUUUAAGUUGAAUCUGCCAAUAUAUAGCUAACAAAGCCUGCUGGUACACUUGGCUACUAACUUCCUAAUAGAUUUUUAUUUAGGGCAGCUAUUAUGAUGUUAAAGGUUUUUGAGAUUGAUGUUUUAAUGCACUUAAAUAUAUAUAAUAUUUGCUUAAAUGGGCUAGUAAAUUUCUCUUUAACUAUUGUAGUACUUACUCGUGUGUGUGUAGAUGUAACUAAUGUUGCGACCAUCUUCAGGUUACUGAGGCCAAUGUUAGAGUUCAGGACUCUAACGGUUCAGAAAUAGAAUCCCAACUUCUUCCUCUGGCUGAGAAAUAUUUAGACUUAAGAAACUACUAUGCGAAAGCAUAUAUGGGUCAGGAUCCACUUAAGACACCUAAGUAUUGGCUUGCAUUUACAGUUUCUGUACCUCCACUUGGUUUUAGCACCUACACUGUCUCGACUGCAAAAAGAACAGGUUCAAAUAUAUAUUGCUUUAGUAUUUAAUUUACAAGAGUUAAUUUCCAUGCUCAUAACAAAGAAAUGAUUUCUAUUUGAUUUCAGGAUCAACUAGAUCGUCAGUAGCGACAUAUAAAAGUAGUGAAAAGUCUAAAUUUGAAGUAGGUCAAGGAAAUUUGAAGCUUACAUUUUCUACUGAUCAAGAGAAGUGUACCAAUUACGUUAAUAGAAGAAACCUGGUUUGUGAUACUUCACUUUGCACCACAUGAUUCCCUUUUCACUAGAACACCUUUAUCUGUGCAAUCAUGCCUCUGUAUUUGUGAUGUUCUCUUUACUGUUUUCAUGUUUUCAUAUAUUCUUUAGCUUCGAAUUUUACAUGGACAGAAAAAUGUAAAAGCAAAAGAAGUAAAACUUGAUUAACAAUGUUAUUUUUUGAAAUGUAAGGUUGAGGAACAGGUUAAACUAAGUUACCUCUACUAUUCUGGAUACAAUGGAACCAAUCAAAAGGAUCCGCAGGUAGAUAAACAUUUUGACCAUAGAUAUCAAUGUCAUACGGGUUCAAUAUGUUUUUUAUCUCUGUAAAUAUAGAAAUGUUCACUUUUAGUACCCAAAAGCUGUCUUCUUUUUUCCCUUUUUUAUUGAAAUAGGGACCAUACAUGACACAUUUCCACAAAGGAGGGACCAAUGAGUGGAUAGUUUUUUCAGGAAUUAAAAGUGAACAUAAUCCUAUUUUCAAAUGAUAAACUAAAAACAUAUUUAUCCCCUUAAGUCUCUCACAAUUCUACUUUGGAUAUAACUUCAUAAUUUAAUUCCCCUCACAGAAUUCCGGGGCCUAUGUCUUCCGUCCAAAUGGCACAUUUCCAAUAAACCAUGAAAAAAAGGUUUGAAGUCCUUCCUGCUAUAUUCUAAUCCAACAAACGAAUUCCCAUAACAAGUGUCACAUUCGAUUGAAUUUUCAGGCUCUAUUAACUGUUUUGAAUGGACCGGUACUAGAUGAAGUUCAUCAACAAAUCAAUCCAUGGAUAUAUCAGGUGUUUUGCUUGUUACAUCUUUAACAGCAUCUUCAUAUUGUUUUCUUAUUAAUAAUAAUAAACUUCUUUCCCAUUUAGUUACAUGAAAUUGUGGUCACAUAAUAAUUUAAAUAAAAUGUGGUGUGUAAAAAGGAAGACGGGAACUGCAUGUUAACUUCUUGACAAUCUUAAUAUGAUAGUUUUUAAUUAUUUAUAUAGACAAUACAAUUGAUUUUAUUAUAGUUUUUCCUCUAUAUGAUAAUUAUGGCUUCACCUUACUUUCAAAAUUUUAGGUGCAACAGGUCUUAAUAUUUUACAUUAUGCAAUUUACUUUAAUGUUCUUUUACUUUAAGUAAACAAAAAGAGUAAAUAAAGCUUAGGGAAUGCCCUUAGUGCCAUCCUGGUAAUUUAUUUUGCAGUCUCAAGUGUUGCAAAAUAAUAAAUGAAUUUUGCCAUAAAUAGCCUAGAGACAGUCUUAUCCAUCGGCCCAAACACUUAAUAAAGUAGGUCCCACUUCAUGAAUGAGGGCUAGCGAAGUGGAACCAAUCCCAUUAUCAGUACCUGUUCUACUCCAGUUUCUAUUUGCCCCAGCUCCUAAUUUUUUCUAUAAUUAUAGUAAUAAAUGUUGAUGAAUGAGACUUUUUAUCUUCUUUUUACCUGACAUUAGAAAUUAAUAUGCUUCAAAUAUGUCCGCAGAUUAACAGACUAUACAAAGGAAAAGAGCAUGUUGAAGUGGAGUUUAUCGUAAGCUUUAAAUAAUUGGUUAUUAUAUUUACAUUUGUGUCAUUCUCCUAGUCAUGUUACAAUUUGUCUGUGACAGUUUGAUUUCCUUUGUAGUCUGGUAAAUACCGUGAUAACUAUUGAGAUAUAUUCUUAUAUGGAUUUUAUGGAUAAUGUUGGAAUAUCAGGUUGGCCCUAUACCAAUUGAAGAUGGAACUGGUAAAGAAGUUGCCACUCAGAUUUCAACUACUAUGGAAACCAACAAAACAUUUUACACGGAUUCUAACGGGCGAGAUUUUAUCAAAAGGGUAUGCAGAUCAGACUAAUGUUCCUUGUAAUACUACAUCUAAGUAAUUUAGAUCAUACAUAAUUGUUGGCACCAGAUGUUACCUUGCUUAAGUUUUCAUUAUAUUCUUUUGUUGAAAUUCUUUGGUUUAAGGUAUAGAGAGAGGGAAUGGAGAAAACGAAGAUUGAUACUAAUAAUCCGAAUUGAAAAAAGAAUCAGAUCAUAAAAUACUAAAGCGUGGAAACUUAGAAAAUAAAGAGUUUGAUACUUAGAGAUAUUUUUAAGAUACUCUAAGGUAUUCUGAAGAUAUAAUAUCGACAAAGAUGACCUUGGUUGUGGGAAUCUAAGAGAAGAAACAAGGGAGUCUAUCAGGCAAUAAAAUAACUGAUUGUGUUAUUUCUAAAACUGAUAUUGACUUGAUGUGAUAUGUUUGCAGAUACUCAAAUAUUCUGAAAGAUGUAAUAUUGAUAUUCUAAGAUAUUCCAACAUCUUUCUAUUUCCAAAUGCUGGGUUUUGUUGCAAAAUAUAAUUCUCUCAUGGAAGUCAAGAAAUGGAAACAACAUAUCUUUUUAUUUGAUCUUAAAUUUGUUGAUGGCAUAUAGAAGUAUCUGCAAAAAGUUUUCAUUUCUUUUCCUUCAGUUGUAAAGUAAAUUUUUGGAACUCAUCUCUCUGCAGAUACGGGAUUACAGAACUGACUGGGAUCUGGAAGUGAACCAACCCGCUGCUGGAAAUUACUAUCCUGUAUGUGAACUCCUAUACAACAUUUCUGUUAUAUUCAUCAUUGGUGUUCAAGGCCUAGUUUCCCCCUCUUUCCUGCAGGGAUGCUAUUGCUGAAACUGUUGUGCUUGCAAACUGUUGUUUGUUCUUGUAUGAUAAAUUAUGAAACUUCUAAUAAUAAACUUCAUUUUUUUAACUUAUUUAGCUUAUUGAAAUCAUUAUUUCAUGAGCUUUGUAAGUCAUCCACAUGCAAAUCCAUUUUAGAAUUAAUUGCAGAGAUGUAUGCCCAACCACACUUCAUAAUUCAGACUGUUUUCUUUAAGGCACAGGAGUUUGAUAAAUUCCACAAGUUAUAUCCAUUCUUUAGGUUCUUAAUAUUAUUUAUUUUUAUCCUUCAGAUUAAUCUUGGGAUAUACGUAGAGGAUAAUAAAACAGAAUUCUCAGUUUUGGUGGACCGACCUAUUGGAGGAUCCAGCUUACAAGAUGGACAAAUAGAGCUGAUGGUCCACAGGUAUGUUUUGUUCUUCAAAUGAUGUGUUAAAUAGAAUGAUAUUCUACUGGAGUUACUUGAAAUUAUAAUUAAACUACUCCUAUUUAGAACUUUGCAAGGCCUUGUUUCUUGGAAAUGUGGUCUUUUUCCAUCUAUGGUAAAGUGUGUGAGCAUAUAGAAGGGAGCAAAGCUUUUAAUAAUUAAAAUGUUUUGGAAGAAAGGAGGGGAAGAUUUCUUAGAUGUACAAUUUAGUUAGUGAUUUGGUGCUUUAGUGAAGCAGAAUGCAACGUUUUUUAGAUAACUUAUCUGCUUCAGCUUUUGAAGUGUGGGCAUGUUGGCUGUGUCUUCAUCAUUUAAGAGGUGGGGAUGAAUUGCUUAAUUCAGCAUCACGAUCUCCAUUUUCUCACACUAGAGUUUGGAUUGCUUCUUUCGGAGUGAUAGGAUUAACCCGUGAGUCAAAAUUGGACAUUUUGGACAUCUGAGAUCUGACACGACUUUUUGUGCUCUAAAGUUUUCACAAGAGCUGUGAAAAGUAUUUUUUUGGUGUUAAAAUCUAUAAUUUUCUGUCAUUUAUGUCAUUUUUUUCUUAUGGAAUAAAUGUUGUUAUUCUUACUAGUUUGACCUUGCCAUCAAUAAUUGUUUACUUAUAUUUUUAAUUGGUGAAUUACAUUUCUUAUUAACGUACUACAUAGUUUGUUAGGUUUUCUUCAAUACUUCUUUUUGAAAAAAAAAAUGCUAUUAAAUUUAUUGGUAUUUAUAAAGGAAAUGUGCAAUUGAUUUAAAGUAUUUGGCAUUUUGAUGAACAAAAAAACAUCUGUCAUGGUGUGUUGUUUUUAAAUUUUGAAGUUUUCAUGAAUUCCAACCGUACCUGUCUAAUGUAUUGGUGACUUAGUGGGUGAGGAGGGUCUACUUAGCGGGGAAUAUGCAAUGGUGAUGGACUUCUUUAGUCAAGAAGUCGAUCAACUCUCUCCUCUCACCACAACACAUACAAACAGAACUGAAUGUACACUGUUUUAUUGAUAUAAUGUGAACUGAAUACAAGAAUUACACCCUUCUAGGAAGCCUCUCUUCCUCCACUGGAACAGAGAUCCAGUCUAUACACAAAUUUACAAAAGAAUAAUCCCCGCCCUUAAGCAAACAGACUCAUAUUUAUAGUAUCACUCCCCCUGCCCCUCUACUAACUAACUUACAACCACUUUUCCCGCUUAGUUCCCUCCUUUCUUCUUUCUUCUCUCAUAUACUUUUAAUCCUCUAACAAAUGGUCAAGAGACCUCUCAUUGCUUUUGAUUGCUUGCCCACUCCCACCCCUUACCAUGCAACCAGCAGCAACCCCUUUUUUUUAAGUCUUGUUUUGAGGGUGUCUAUUUUCACUGUUUGAUUCUGUCAUUGUAUUUUUGUUUAUUUUUAAAGGAUUAACCAAAUUUCUUUCUUCUCAUAAACAGGAGAUUACUACUUGAUGAUUCAAAAGGUGUUGCAGAGGCUCUAAAUGAAACCGAUUGUGUUGGUGGUGAUUGCAGGGGUCUAACUGUAAGAAUUUCAUGCAUAUUUUUUAUGUUAUUUAGUUGUUUGUUUCUUUUAUUAAUGUUAGAUGUGUAUUUUUGAGUAUAUAUUCUCAUUUUAUCAGCUGACAAUUUCUCUCAAAUGGGUCUUAAAAUGCUGAUGGCAGAAAAAGGUUUGACAAAUCAAUGUCAAUCCAAUUGUUGCUAAAGCUGACGAAAAUGUCAAUGCCAUAAUUUUGCAUUUAGUGUCAAAAUCCCAUGACCUGCAUUUAAUAUUUUCUUAUACAAUUUUAAUUGCAUAAUUAAGAGAUUUAAUCACAUUCCAUAGUUAAGAGGAUUAAUAGGCUGACGCUAUAUUUUAUAUCUAUUGUAUAGGAUCAUUGGUCCUGAAUAGUAGGAAUAGAUUAUAUCCAAUAUAACUUAGGAUUUUCUGUUAUUAACCAAUUGCUCCUCAAUGAAUAAUAUGAUAACAGUUUUCUGAUAUGGUAUCAAAGUCACUUAAAGCGUAUCCUAUUCAAGUUCUUUGGGAUUAUUAUGCCACUGUUAUCUUAGACCACUCACAAAUACAUAAUCCUAUGUUCUUUCCUCAUAAUGAGGAUAUGUGUUAAAGAUCCCACAUUGACUAGGAAUAAGGCUGAAUUAUAAUGAGUGGGAUGCAAUUUUACUUUACAUGCUGGUUUUGUGAGGUUGAGUUAAACAUAAAUUUGAUAAAAAUAUGUUUAGGCAAAAAGCUCGUGUAUUGAAGAUAAGGAUAAUUCAUUCUCAACAAAAAGACCUCAUUCUUCCAAAAUUAAGUCCCAUUAACACCUCAUCAUCUAUUGAAACUAAUACUUCACCAUCUACUGAGUCUAGUCAUGUUGCUUCACCAAAAAUAAUUGGAGAAAAAACUCAUUGUUACCCAUCCAUUGUAGGUAUACUCGUGAAGGAGAAGGUCUGUUAUUCAACCACCACUAUUGAAACUAAUACUUCACCAUCUACUGCGUGUAGUCAAUUAUGUUGCUUCACCAAAAAUAACUGGAGAGAAAACUCAUUGUUACCCAUCCACUCUAGGUAUACUCGUGAAGGAGAAGUUCUGUUAUUCAAUCACAAGUCCAUGAAUAUGAAUCUAUGCCUAAAAUACCUGACAUUAAUGAAGAAUAGAAUAUGCUAACCAUUGAAGUUUGGGACAUUCCAAUUGCAGUACGGAAAGGUGUUAGAGGAUGUACUCAGAAGCCAAGGUACCCAUUGUCACACUUUGCGUCCUAUGACAAACUAUCCCGUAGUCACCAAAGCUUUCUUGAUCAUCUAAAUACUGUCACUGUUCCAAAAAUUAUGGAUGAGGCACUCGAUAGUAAUAAUCGAAAAAAUGCUAUGAAGGUUGAAAUGAUUGAUCUAGAAAAGAACAAAACUUGGGAAUUAGUGGAUCUACCUAAAGGAAAAAAUCUUGUCGGAUGUAGGUGGGUAUUCACUAUUAAAUCCAAGGCAGAUGGGACAUUAGAAAGGUAUAAGGCUAGGCUUAUAGCUAAGAGUACUCAAACAUAUGGGAUUUACUAUCUUGAAACUUUUUUACUUGUCGCAAAAAUGAAUAUAGUUAGAAUUUAUUGUCUCUAGCAGCUAACUAUGAAUAACUAUAAAUAGAGUUUGUAACAAUUUGAUGUUACAAAGGCCUUUCUACAUGUCAAUCUUGAGAAAGAACUUUACAUGGAGGUUCCACCUAGGUUUAAAGUCGAGGAGAGAAAGGUGUGUAAACCCUGGAAGGUACUCUAUCUAUUGAAACAAUCUCUUAGAACAUGGUUUCACAGGUUUAUUAUAUUAAUGAAGAUCAUGGGUGGGUACAAGCAAAAGGCAAAGUGACCGUAUAUUGUUUAUUAAGCAUUCAUCUUCAGCGGAAUUACUGCACUAAUUGUGUAUGCAGAUGAUAUAGUUCUAACCGGAAAUGAUCAGGUAGGAAUGGAAGCUUUAAAAAAAUGUUUGAUAACGGAAUUUGAAAUCAAGGAGUUAGGUAGAUUGAAAUAUUUCUUGGGCAUUGAAGUGGCUCAUUCCCAUCAUGGUAUUUUCCUCUCCAAACAAAAAUAUGUGCUGUAUUUAUUGGCUAAAACUGAUAAAUUAGGAUGCAAACUAAUUGAGACACCUAUUUAAUAAAAUCACAAACUUGGUGAAACAAUUGAAGAUGUAGCUGUGGAUAGAAAAUCUAAUCAAAGACUGGUUAGGAAAUGGAUCUACUUGUCUCACACUAGGCCCGACAUUGCCCAUUCUCUAGGAGUUCUAAGUUAGUUCAUUCGUAAUUCAAGAGGAGACUCAUCUCAAAAUUGUUUAUCACAUUCUAUAGUACUUGAAAGAAACUCCUGGAAAGGGGAAUGAGAUGAUCUUAGAAGUCUACACAAAUGCUGGCUAUGCAGGUUCUAUAGAUGAUAGAUGAUCUAUCUCUGGAUAUUGCACUUUGAAGAAAUUUAGUCAAUUGGAGGAGCAAAAGAAAAAAUGUUGUGGCAAGGUCAAGUAGGGUUUAGAGCCAUGGCCUUAGGGAUUUGAUAAAUACUAUGGUUAAAGAUAAUUUUAGAAGACCUGAAUAUUGAUUGGAAGAACCCUGUGAGAUUGUAUUGUGAUAACAAGUUAGGAAUAAAUAUUGCACAUAAUCCAGUGUAACAUGAUAGAACUAGGCAUGUUGAAGUCGAUCAACACUUCAUAAAAGGAGAAAUUGGGUAACACCACAACCAUUUGUAUCCUUUGGAAACCAACUUGUAGAUGUAUUGACAAAAAGGCUAAGUGGUGUUACAUUUCAGUCUAGUGUUGGCAAAUUGAGAAUGAAUGACAUCCACUCACCAACUCGAGGGGGUGUCAGAAUUCUAUGAUUUAUGUUGCAGUUAAUAUUUGCUUAUAAAGUUUUAAUUACAUAAUUAGGAUAUUUAAUUACAUUUCAUAAUUAGGAGGAUUAACAAGCGGAAAGUAUAUUUUAUAUUUUUUGUACAAAUCAUUGAUUCUAAAUUGUAGGAAUAGAUUAUAUUCAUUAUAAAUUAGGAUUUUCAAUUAUUAAGUAUUUGUAUUCUAUCUAGGAGCAAUUUCUCCUCUAUCAAGAAUAUUAGAAACAAUUUUCUAACAUUUAGAAAUGUUUAAUUGAUAUAUAAAUGAGAAAGAAAUUUGUCAAUUUUCAAUUGCUUUCUAAAAAGGAUUUAUUCCCAAUGUUGUCAACAAAUUAUGCCUACCCAAAUUUUUGGCAGUGUGUAGUUUUGGCUGUUAAUGUAUUUGACUGGAGCAGUUUUCCUGCAUUUUGUUUAAUGUCAUUCAUGGAAAAUGUCUGCUGUAUGAUUUAGAUUUUCAUAACUGGUAAUAUGUCACUGACAAUCUAUGUUGUAGGUCCAAGGCAAAUAUUACUACAGAAUAGACCCCUUAGGCGAGGGUGCUAAGUGGCGUCGUACUUUUGGCCAGGAAAUAUAUUCUCCACUUCUUUUAGCCUUUGCUGAAAAGGUAAAAUUGAAUACUGCAAACAAAAUACUUCUUUGUUAGAUAUAUUGCAUUUUAUGUUAAUUAAGUAAACAUAGGCCAUGUUAAUUAUGUUAUUUUUCAUAUUCAUUUGUAUUUGGGCUUAGCUUACAUUUUCAUUAUUAUAAAUACAUUACCUAUGUGUAUUUUCUAUAUAAAGAAGAUUAAUCCUAUACCUAGUUUUACUCUAUUCAACAUGGUAUCUAGAGCCUAAAGCUUUUGAUAGUCAAUAUUUGAAUUUUGAAUUCAUUGGGAGAGGAUUCUCUUGGUCCUUGUCAUAGAACACUUUCUUAUCAAAGGGUGUUGGUGUGGCAAAUCUUCACUGACUUAUCAAUCGGCUAAAUUGUGGGAUCUCCAUCUCAAUCUUAUUUUUGUGUUCUUCUCUUAUUUUCGUUAUUUGUUACGAGAGGAACCAAAUUCAGAAAUGAUUGUACCUUUUUCUAGAUAGGAUCGAAUUAGUUGGGCAGCUAUCAAUUGCAUUGAGCUCGUUUCCUUCUCCUCUUUCAGGAUCUAUGCUUGUUGCCUUGACUAGAAAACCUUGGUUUUCUAGGGUUUUUUCUCUCUCUGUGGUAUCUUUUGCUGCUUCUUCUAAUAGUGCAAACCAAUUUACUCUUUUCAAUUUUUAAAUGAUAUGAGGAUCAUCAGAACACUAGUUUAACUAUUUCUGUUGCACGCACAUCUUAUUUUUUUUGGCCUAACUCAACCUUCUUCCCUUGGACCAUGGGUUCUUGACUUAGGUGCCACAAAUCACAUCACUGGUAACAAAUCUUAGUUUUCUUCUUUAUCCUCUUCCGGGUAAUUUGCCUACGAUUACAAAUGGGUCUAGGGUCUUAUCUCAUGUUGGUACUAUUAAUCUUUUUCCAUCUUUAACCAUUGAUAGUGUUUUUUAUGCCCCUGGAACCCCUUUUAAUUUAUUAACCAUUAGUAGUCUAAUUCGUUCUCAUGAUUAUGUUAUUUCUUUUACCAAAAACUCUGUUCACAGGACCAGAGUUCAGGACAGAUAUUUGGCACCAGAUUUGAGUCUCAUGUCUUUUAUCAUCUCUGCCCUUGUACACAUGUUGGCAUAGUUUUGCAUACUAUCUUUCUCAGCAUCCAUACCUAUUUUUCCCUCUUUCGUUCAUUUCAUGACAGAUUUCUCACUUCCUUCUAAGCCCCUCCCAUGACUCAUGAGUUCUUGCAGCAUUUCUUUUAUUUCUUGGACGAUUUCCCUUAAAUCUUGCAUACUGUCUUCUUUGUUUUUUUUUUUUUUUCUGUCAUGGCUCUUCCUUGUUUGAUGGCCCCUCUAUCCAAAGUACUUUACUUUGUCUUCCAUGCUUUCACAUCUUCCUCUAUCCGGAAAAUUUGUUAGGUUCUUAGGUAGAGAAAGCCAAGAAAACUACUAUAAAACACCAAAGCUUACCGAAAAGAUAUGGUAUUAUUGAUUCUAAGCACCCAGGAUAGCAAGAAUGCCUCCAAGGGACAAAGCUCCCUUACAUGAUGGUAAUGAUCCUAUCAACAAUUCUCUAGACAUCCAAAAACAACUCACCACCUCGCACCCCUCCCCCGGCACACCCCCUCCCCCUCCCCAACCCCAACCCAUCCCACCUACAAACACCUCCUCCACUAUAUAAAGAAAGUCUCACUCAACCCUAACAACCCAACUAACAACUAAUUUUUUAAUUUGUUUCCUCAUAUCAUACACAUUGAUUGUCAUUUCAUUUAAGAAAAGAUUAUAUAUGGAGACAUCAAGACUGAGUUUGUCAACGCAAAUGAUCAAUUAGCAGUUAUUUUCAUUAAGUCUUUACGGAGACCGAGAAUUGAUUAUAUUUGUAAAGAGUUUGAUACAUACGAUUUAUAUGCACUAACUUAUAUAUUACGUUUUAUGUUAAUUAGAGAAACAUAGUUCCUAUGUUAAUUAUGUUAUUUUUACUAUUUAUUUAUAUUUGGCUUAACCCACAAUCUCAUUAUUAUAAUUACAUUACUCUAUACGUAUUUUUUAUACAAGGAAGAUUUAUCAUAUACCUAAUUUUACUAUAUUCGACAUUCUUGAACAUAUAUCUACUUUUUAUUUGAUAAAUUUUGAACAUUUAGAAUUAUAUCAUGUAUCAGGUACUAAAGGUCUAUUUCAUUGUGCAGGAUGAUAAAGAUGAGUGGAUGAAUUCCCAUGUAUUAACAUUUUCAGGAAUAGAUUCUUCUUACGCAUUACCUGAUAAUAUAGCUAUUAUAACAUUACAGGUAUAUAUGUCUUCAGCUUAAAGGGAUUUCCUUAUCCUCAAUAGUAUUAGUUCAGUAACAAUUGAAUUUACAGGGCUAAUACAAUGAUGGUAUCAAAACUUUGUUUUCUUUGUGCUGUGUGUGAGGAAGUGCACAUAUGUUAGGCCAUCAAGAUCAGAAGGGUGGAAACAGAGAGAAAGAGAAAGACAUAGAGAAAAAGAAAUCAAGGAACAUUCAGUUCACCAAAAAUAAUUUAUACAUAUCUCUUUCACCUUCUUGUUAUAACUAAUCGAAUACACAUUACUGAUAUAACCAAUGUUCAACAACUGAUGGCUAUGAAAACAAUAAGAAACUAUACUCCAUAAAUUUUUCUGGAACUCGCAGUACAAAUUGAAACCUGAGAAUUAAAGGGUUGAGAAAUUAAUCAAUGAAACCAUAACACGUGUUACUUGUUGUAUAACAAUAACACCUUACCCCACUAAAUGAUCUCUUUUCCUUCUAGAUAGACCUUCAAUUUUGCAACCUCUUGGUUCCUAACAAUUUAUGAAAUCUGUUGUGUUAAAAUUCUAUGGCUUCUAAUAUAUCUAUUUUCUUGGACUUUGCAGGAACUUGAAGAUGGGAGGGUUCUUCUACGGCUAGCACAUCUAUAUGAGGUAUAUCCACUUCAUCUUAUUUAGUAUUUCUCUCGACUUUUUCUUUGACUUAAGAUUUGAAAAGAGAAGUUGUAAUGUUUUAUUGGUACCAUUGCUCUUGUAUGUUUAUUUCAUGAUUUUUCUGGAUUGAAAAUAAAGUGCACUGAUUAAUACAUGAAUGGAGAGAAUGCAUUGUUUUCUUCUAAAAUAAUAAUUGCAGUUUUGUUGGAAUAAAUCAGUGAACCUAUUAGUGUUGGAGAAAACUGUUCCAAGACUUGCACAAGUUUUGUGUAGAAUGGAUUACUGCCAUGGUGAUUGUUUGCCAACUAAAUAAAUACGUCAUGGUUUUUACUUAUGAAUUUUAAGCUCAUUAGAUUAUUCAUAAUCUUUUUCUACUGUAAUUAAUAGUUAAUAGAAAAUUAAUUUGCUUCAUGCUUUGGUCCCUCAUUUUCUUGGCCCAUCAAACUAAUGCACACAGAUUGAAGAAGACAAGGAUCUCUCUGUAACGGCAACUGUGGAGCUGAAAAAGCUCUUCCCUGGGAGGAAGGUAAGUGAUAGGUUUCAUUUCAUGAGAGUAUAAAAUUGUUUUUUACACUUUUUUUAGCUUGAUUUCUAACUCAAGUUCUUUCCUUAAAAAAUAGAUCAAAGAGGUAAAGGAGAUGAACUUAUCUGCCAACCAAGAAAGAACAGAGAUGGAGAAAAAAAGACUUCAUUGGAAAGUAGAAGGCUCUAAUGGAAAUAGACAUGUUUCAAGAGGAGGACCCGUUGAUCCAAAAGAGCUAAAGGUGGAGCUUUCUCCAAUGGAAAUCCGCACUUUUAUCAUUUAUUUUGAUGCUGUUUCAGACCAACUUUUUUAUGCGAUGUAGAACAAAAUCAGUGGUCCAAGUCCUUGCUUUUGAACAAGUAUAUUGGUAUGACACAAAUAUUAAUGUUUCAAAUACUAGUAUGUUUUGCAUAAUUCCAUAUCUUGCUUGAAGAUUAGUUAUAGCCUAUUUCUUUCAUACUCUUAUCUGUGUAGGUUUUACAUAACAUGCUUAUAUUCCACUAAUCAUUCCCUAACUUGUGCAUGUGCAUCAUAUUUUAAAAUUUGUAGAAAAUCAUGUAUAGUCUAACAUGCCAUGACAUGUUUAAUAAAAUCUUUAUGUAAUGAAAAUGAUAAUUAUCAUGAAAUUAUUUGGAACAUGCUACAACAUGAAUUUAAUAAAUAAACAAAUUGUGUUGAUUGUUACAACGAGAACACAUAUUAGUUAGUCGUUACAAUCUAUGAUUGAAUAUUAAUGUUUUUUUAAACGUGUUUUUCUAAACACAUUUCAAAAUGCAUUCUGAAACGUAUCUCAAAUUUCAGAAUGUGUAAAAUUAUUUAAAUAUACUCUAGAUUAUGAAAUUUUGGAAUGUACUUUCAGAUCCAAAAGUACAUCUUAAAAUAUACAAUUCAAAAUGAUUUUUAAAUAUAUUCUAGAUUGUUCAUUUUAGAAUGUAUUUAAAAUACACAAUAUGAAAUAUGUUAAAUUUUUUAAAUACAUUAUAGAAUUCAUUUAGACUCUACCAUUGAAAAACAAUCAAAACCUAUCACAAUCGAAACCUGAUUAUGGACAUUUUGUUAUAGGAAUCUGAGUACAAAAAUUCCAAAAAGCAUUAUCCAGAAAAUUUAAGCAAUAUUCAUUCUGAAAAUUCCUUUUUCAGAAGGUAAAAACGUUAUUUUGAAAAAUUUUGGGUGUGUACAAAGAAAUUGUGGAAGUGCUAGAAGUAGAAUUUAGGAAAUAUAAAGAGGAGUAAAAGUGAAUGAGGCCGAACUGUUUUUCAAUCUUAACAUGUAAAUAUAGUGUCUCUUACUACACCCCAGUUUCUUCUUCCUGCACCACCACAAAAUCAAGAAUUCCCAAAGUACCACACAUUAAAUUAUGAUAAAAAUCCUCACUCCACCUCUAUUUUCAUAUUUUCUGAAUUGGAUAUUUGAUAUUCAACCUGAAAGGUAUAAAAAAAAUAAACAAGUGUUCUGAAAAGUAUUCCCAAAUUCAAAAAUAUCUUUUAAACCACCCCGUUUCCGGAAAGUUUUUUAUGUUCUGGAAUAGCUAUUUUAUAAGGUAUUUUCGAACAUAUAAACGAUUUCCGAAAUAAGUAUUCUUGAAAAUAUUUCCGAACCCAGAAAAUAAUUUUUGAAACAAUCAAUUCGAAAUUUUUUUUAAUAUUAUUUUUGGAAGGCAUUUUUCGUAUCCAGACAUAUUUUGCAGAUUGUCCAAAUUUCCCUUCUCCUUCAGUCGUUCACCACUCAUCCAUCUUCACGCCUUCGUUAAAGAGAAUCAUAACAAUGUUAUAUGAUUCAGUGCAGAGAUGAUUUCUCCAAUGUAUAUUGUUCCCAUGCUUGAAGGAUAGUGUCAAGGUAUGUGCAGCAGGAAUGAGCCAAUGAGAAGAGUAGGUGUGCCACGAAUGAGAGGAGGUGCAAGAAGUAGCAGGUUUGAUUGUUGGAAAAAACAAGGGAUGAAUUGAAAUGAACUGUAAUGAAGUAUAAUGGAAUAAAAGUUCUAUUUGUUAUUGUUUUAAUAUGACAGAGUGAAAAUUUUGUUCAGUUAAAUAUCAUCAUUUUCACGAAAAAGGAAGAGGGAAAUUAAGGUAAAUAAUGGAAAGGAUCUCACCAAAUGAAUCUACGCAUCCAGCAAAAAUUGGAUAUGCAUGCCUUGCAUUUUUCGUUCAGAGAAAUUUCUGGUAGAAUGUUAUUUAUGCUUUCUCCUGCACAAAGCAUUCUAUUUAAAUGGGGGCAUCUUCCUUAUAGUAGAGGUAUCGUUUGAUUCAACGUGAGCAUAGUAUUAUGUAUAAAAAGUAUAAACAAAACUAUUAUAUUACCAUCAAAUUUAAAUGAAAUUGGUUUUUGCAAACUUAAUUUUGAUGUGAAGUUAUUUGGGUACUGCAUCUGUUUUUCAUUCGAUCGUUAGCCACAAACACCACUAGAAAAUUCAGUAGCUUGGUAAUAUCAUGCUAGUCACUUGAUCAUAUGUAACUUUAUGAUACAAAGUAGUAUAAAAGAAUACACGACAAUAAUUCUUAAAGCUUUUACACUGCUUAUUGAAGUUCCCAGUAAUAUAGUGUACCUAAUGUAUGGGACAAUAAAAACAUCCUAAUUUGAUUUCGACACAAAUAUCAACAAGUAGGAAGUUUAAUAUACAUAAUGAAGCAAAUCGUAUCUUACGCAUUCUCUGGUGGUGAUUGAUCAGAAGGUCUGACAAGGUGCUCUCUGAUUUGAUCUUCAUGCUCCGUAGUGGUAUCCGAUUUGGAGGAUUUGUUUCCAGCAUAAAGAAUAUAAUGUUGAAUAAUGAAGAUAAUGUCGAAGAAUACAGACACCUGCAGUUAGUAUUGCACAAAAAAAAGUCACAAAAAAAGCCUCUCUCAACAGUGUAUGACUGGCCUAAUAAACAAGCAUAAUUUACUAGGCACAAGCUCCGUCUAGAUCUAUGCAAAAUGAAAAAUUGGUUUCUCAAUACAUGCAUCUACUAAGUAGUGAGCCAUCACUUUUGAAUAAAAAAGAAAUCAAUCUUCAACGGAAAAUAACUUCAAAAUUAGAAUAAAGAUUACAAAACAAAAAGAGAAUCAGUAUUUGAAUCACAACUGCAUGCAAAAUAUAUAAAAAAAAAAAAAAGAAAAAAAAAAACAAUUAUAACGCAAGAAAGAAGUAAAAGAAUCCUCAAGAGAGCUUCCCAUACCAGAGAUAGUAACACUUUUCCUAUAUUCCCGUAGAAGUUGACCCAUGAAUCUAGAAAGAUGGGAUUUAAAAUAAGUUCAUAUGAAAAUAUAUAAUCAAAUGACAAGAAAUAUCAUUAGCAGAGGUGAGUAAUGACAUACUUUGAUCUAUUGAUUGCACAACCAUCUGUCCAUAGUUUGCUACUCCUCCAGAAAGAUCAAGUAGAAUGUUACCAAUGCUGAAGCCAUCAGUACUUUUUCUCAGGAAGUUCAUAACUGCCUACAUUCAUAAGAAACAUAAUUACAUGGACUGCGAGAGGAUGUAAAGCAAGUCAGGCCUGACUCUGUUGAGAGAUUAGAAAAUGAAUGAUGAUAUAUAAUUUCCUUUAAUUCAUUGUUAUAAUGCACUCACACAAAAGAGAUAAAUAAGGCCCAUUUCAUCGAAGAAACAAUCCAUUCAAGUUUUCAGAGUUUAUUAUUACAGAUCUGGAGCUAGAUCAGUUACAUUUUCCACUUAAAUGGAAGGGGUCUAGGACAGUACGAUAGCUCACUUUUCCAAACCAGUCAAUUAUUUUACAUGAAGUAUAUGUCUAAAGCCCAAAUUGUGAACGAUGUGAACAAUAGAAAAUGGUGCUUCAACUAUCACUACAGGAAUAAUUUAAACUAUUAGAGGAUACCANGAAUAGAGAGAAAGAAUUGAGUUCCAAAUUUCCUCUGCCAUCUGACUCCUUAUGUUUAAUAACUUGGUUUUUCUAUCACUAGCAGGAAAGUAUUAAUUUUAAGUAGAAAUGACUAGAANGACAUCAGAAAAGAACAUGAAUAGGUUCAUUAGUANUUGGGAGCUGAUACUUAAAUUAGUUUCUGCCAUGAAAUUUUAGUUUAAAAAAAUGAUGUCAAUAACAGUCAAAAGAUAAAAAAGAAGACAAAUAAAUUUGAAAAAGAAUCCCAACCUGAGGAAUGUACUUUAUAACAGUCAUAGUUACUUGAAUUGUGCUGCAACAAAAUCAAUGUAAACAAAAAUUAGAAAAAAUUUAAUUACAUCCAAAGACUAGAGCAACCUAAUAUUUUGUAUCAACACAGAACAUGGACUGUAGCACUACAGCAAAGGUGGAUCUGAGGUAGUUCGAUAUACAGAAGAAGAUUCUAAGCUUUGUCCUAACAUCAUACCGUAAGCUGAGUCCAUGGUGGUAAGAACCCCAACACAUGAAAAAUUCAAAUGUCUUCUUUAUAAGAUUGGUCACAAAAUAAUAAAUCAUAAAGGUUCUCAAAUGAUAGCUAAUAUUCUUAAGCUGGCACACAUUAGUUCAAUAAUUCAUCCGUGCUCUCAAAUUAGAACAUAAAUACUUUCAGCCAAGUCUUCAAUUUCAUAUGCAACUGCCAACCCAAAUAAAGAGUAAACAUAAAAUGUUUGCCUUUAUUAACCACAUUAUCUACUUAGUAAUUGAUGAAAAAGAAAUAAGCUUUCUCCAAUUCUGUGAAUAGCACGCCAGCUCGAGAUGAAUUAGUGGUCUCAAGAAAGCACCGAAAAAUUUACCACAUGGGAGCUCCAUAAUUUGGUGUCAGAAACUAAACAAUAUCAAAUCUUCUUCAGUAGUAAAACAAUUAACAUCCCCUAUAAAACCAAAAGUAUAUCCACGAAUAUAUUCUAUGAGAUUAAAUUGAAGGCCAUAAAGAACGAAACAAAACCAAAAGCAUGGACAACAUACUUGAAUAUGGAGAUAAGCCAAAGCCAGGAAUGAUUUGACAAAGCAAUAAAGAAACAAACUGCUGCAAUAAGCCAAGCAACAGAGACAAUUCCAAUAGAAACUUUGGACACUUUCUGACUCCCACGCUACAAACAAACAAUUAUUAAGUUCAGUAAAAAAUCGAGAACUCGGUCCAUAGAACAAAAACGAAGAAUAUUCUCAUUUUUCAACAAUAUCAUUCUUACUUCAUAGAUUGCAAUCUGGAACAACGUGAUUGCCGUCAGUAGAACAGCAUGGAUGGAGAAAGCAACAUCAUUUGCAGCCACAGGUAUCAUCUGAAGUAGGCGGAAUUAAAACGACAUCAUCGAUCUAUAAAUGUUUAUACACACAACAAAUAUUACUUCAACUCUCAAACAAUUCACAAGUUUUCAAUCGUCAAAAUUUUCUCCAAAAAACAACAACUAAAGAGUCCUUAACAGUUCCUUCAAGAGCAGAUCCUAUUUUUGUUCUCACGAUAUGAACCACUUCUACACAAGCCAAUCGAUCAGGAAUCAUCAUUCAUUCAACUCUAAAGAUAUAAUACAUUCAAUAAACGAAACUUAUACGACAAUUUGUGAUUCAAACAUAAUUCAUAUAGGAUCUGUUUACAUAAACUUCAAUGUAACCACUUUUAGAAGAGAAAAAUAAAAUAGGUUUUUUUUCCUACAGUAAAAGUUUACGUAGAGUUAUUUAUCAUAGAGUAUUUUACAUCAGCUUUUCCAAAAAACUGAAUUUUUUAACCUAUAAAUAAGUUUAUUUUACCAUGCAGAAAAGUAGAUUUUAUUUUUUCUUCAUAUUUUCCUGGAAGUCUAAGAAAUUUAUGCAAAGAACCACUCUCUCGGAUGUGGGCAAAAUUGCCUUUCAGAGCAUGACAUGAUAUGACAUGAAUGAAACGUUGUCGUGUUCAUUUAAUUGAUAAACAAUUGAAGAGUGUUUGAGAAGGAACCUGUCCAUAACCGUAUUUAUCGAAGUAUUGCUUCUGAAUAGCAGAGCUGAAGUAGAGAGAAGCGUUGUAUAUGAGAUAGGUACUGUGCUUGGUCAGAUUCAGUAGCACGAAAUCGAAGUUGAGCCCAACCACACUAAAUUAAAAAAAAAAAUUAAUUAUAAAAUAUUUAAGUUUAAUCAAGCACAUGGAUGAUGAGAGAAAAAGAAGAUUGUACCUCCUCCUGCGAAAAUUCAAGAUGACUUGAGGGUAGAAACUGAUGGACCAGGAAACGAAAGCGAACCAACCCAGAGCCUCGUACACAACUUCGAGUUCAAACGAAUUCCACGAAGCCAUUUUCUUCGCUCGCGCAACAGCGAUCACCAACUGCGUAGGUGCGUUCCUUAAAUAUCAAAGACUAUAACGCUGACGUAAACGAUUGAAUCUAUUUUAAAUAUCUGAAAAAUUCACCAAUUACAUCAUUUCAACAGAAAAAGGUUCCGUUCUUAUUUCGUUCACCACCGUUUUAUGAAUAUUUAGUUUUUUUUUUUAUUUAUAUAUCUUAUUUUCACCAAUACUCUAAUUAAAAGGUUAAUAAUCCAAUGACUAAGGAAUUGGGCAUUUAUUGAACUUCAAGUAGAAUCAUUUGACCUUAAUUUUUGAACAAGAUAAUUUUUUUGUUGGACUUUAUUGACCUAAAGACACUAAACAAUCUAUUUCAUCCAUUCAAUAACAAAAACUGAAAUAUGGCUUUAUCUUUAAUUUUUUGUUUUUGUGCACCUCCAAAUUGUGAUACCAAAUAUGUUCUUCCACACGAAGAAAACAUCAUAAAAGGUUUCUGAAAACUCUAACAUAAUGUUCAAGCCAUGAAGAAUAUUUCAUAAGGAAGCAAUUUUAUGAGGAUUCAACUCAUAACCUUACGAUUGAAGUUAUGGAAGUCAUCGAUGCAGCCAUGUUAUUUGAGUCUAUUUAAACAAUGUUUAUUUUCUAUUUUAUAAAUCAGAUCUUUGAGAAAUCUUUUUUAAAAGAUUUUAAGAGAUUUAAAGAGAGAUUUUAGAGAAUAUUUUUGUACAUUUCCUCUAUAUUAAAUAAAACAUUUUUAGAGAAUUAAGGAAUAGAGUUUCCUCCAUGUUAUAACUUCUUUCUACCCAUUAUGAAGAACUAAAUCUCUUAAAUAUUAGAGUGUAUCUGCUUUAAACUCUCUUGUAUUUGGUAUUAUCUCUAUUUAUGUAUGUUUUUUGUUGAUUCAAAGUUUGUUAAUUGAUUUAUGCUUAACGUUGGAUGAAAUGAUGACUCCUCUUACUUCACUGGCUUAAGAUUUAGUAAGAACUAGUUUUAAGUUAUGGUCAAGUCAAUUAUCUUGUGUGCUUCUAGAUGUUAAGAAUAGAUCUAAGGUUGCAUAAGGAGAUAAAGUCUUGAUCUUAAUGUAGGUGAUCUGUUUAAGCAGUUACUAAAGAAUCAUACUAAAAGGUAAUGAUUUUAAGCUCUAAGUGUCAGGAAUGGACCUAGAGUUACACCUAAGAGAACUCCGAAGACUUGAUCACUAGCAACAUCAUAUGUAUUGAUAGAAUCAGUAUAAGAGAGGGAAAAAAGUGGCGAGGUUGAACUCUAACACAUUUUUAUCAUAUGAAAUUCACUCAUUUAGCAAUCUAAAUUGUUUUUUAAGAGAUAUCACAAUUAUUUUACGAAUCAAACUUGUUUUGUUCACGUUAAAAUCUUUGUUACUUUACAUUGAACAAUCAAACUAGUUAAAACAAAGUAUUUCUUUGUGAAAUCCUAUGGAUACAACACUUGUUAUACUAUUAACUACCUAGUAUACUUGUUGGUAUGUUAGGGUUGUUUGUUGCACUGCAGACCCAACAAUAGUCUUUAAUUUAAUUGAUUAUGUAAAUCAAUUAAUCAAGUAAAACAUAUAGCAUCGUGCGAAGAGUGCAUUUUUUCUUAUUUAGUCAAUUACAUGUUAAAUUAUUGUAGACUAAUUAUUGGAAUUUAGUUUUUAGGUGUUAAUGAUUUAAAUUACAAUACUAUUGAAUAUUUACAACUUAAAAAAAACACAAUAUAAAAAAGUAAAUAUUUUAAAUUACUUUUGAUUUUUAUUUUUAAAUUAAAAAAAAGGGGCUAGCAGGAGUUGGACUCCUUUUACCCGUUAAUUUGGCAGUUCAAUCCAACCCAUUUGCUUUGGGCAGGCUAGCGGGUUGGUCCAUGAGCUGUGGUCCACUUUGCCAUUCCUAUCCCAACUCUUACUGUAACGUGUUCCUAGUUACUCUCAUGAAUACCUGGGGUGGGUCAAUAAGUGUCGAGCUGGUCAUGGUCUCAUAAUCUUAUGUUACAAACCAUGCUAAAUUUUACAAAACAAGAUCAGCUCACAUCCCCACAAAAUCCAAUACUUUAUAGGGUAAAUAAUUUGGUUGGAAAUUAAAGAAGAAAAUGAUAAGGACACUAACAACUUUUUGUUUGAUGCUUUUAUCAUUAUACACUAAUAGCAUUUACGGUUAUUGAAUUUUCAAUGCAAAGGGAUCAAUUAGGAUUGAGUUCAUUACAAGAGAGAUCAUGACACAAGUUCCAUCUUAGGCAUUCUCGAAUGGUCUAUCUGAAGACUUGGCAUUAUCAUGUUCAGGAGAUGCCUCUAAUUUUCGUGUCUUCACAGGAUAUAACAGAUAAUGUUGGCACAUGAAAAUGAUGUCAAAGAAUACAGACACCUGCAAUGGUUCAUUUUAUGAAUAGCAAUAUUAGUUAAAAGUUCUAUUGGAUCAGAAUAACAAUCUAACAAGCAAAAUCUCUUGCAGAAAAAAAAAAUAAACACCAGAGAUAGCAGCAGUUUCCCUAUAUUUCCAUAGAAGUUCACCCAAGAAUCUGGAAAUCAAAGUUGGAUAUCAAUUUAAACCGUAAAGAAGAUAAUAGCAACAUACUCUCUUCUAACAUUGAUUUUUAGAACUUACUAAACAUUGCAAAAUCAUGAUUGAGACUUGUUUAAAGAGUGUUGUAGAGUAUGUUACUAGCAUUUUUUUAACUAUAAAUGGAACAAAAUCCUUUGAUAAAGAAGAUGACUUACGUUGAUCGAUUGAUUGCAUAGACAUUUGAGCAUAGUUAGCUACGGAGCCAGAAAAGUCGAGUAGAAUGUUAACAAUGCUCCAGCCUUCUGUACUUUUUCUCAUAAAGUUCAUCACUGCCUAUAUUCAAUAUCACAACUUACUACUUGAGAUAAAAUAGUUAACAUGUUUUAACAAACAAUAAGUUCACUUUAUGACCAAAGAAAUAUGCAGCAGUUCUUCAGAUUGUGUAUGUUUGCAUUCCAAAAUAUGCUUCAUUGAAGACAAGACUAGCAUAAUCUUACUGAUUCCUAGUUCCUAGAGCUAAAUUAUCUCAGCAAUCAAACUGAGAUAAUAUAAACACGAGAAAAAAGGAAAUCAUAAAAACUCGAAUAGGUCCUGACCUGGGGAAUGUAUUUUAUAACCGUCAUACAAACUUGAAUGUCACUGCAAGUGAAUCAGUUUCAAGAAAAGUCAGAAAGAAAUUUGUUAACACAUUCAUCAUUCAUGAUGCAUGUUAUAUGUAACAAUGGCAUGGGAAGAAACUUGGUCUUAUUAUGAUUCUCCAAUGUAAAUUUCUUAAUAAUCCACAAUAGGAAGUCAAAUUAAUGACAAUUUUCAUGUAACAAACUUAAACAGAAAACAUACGAGAAGAUUGAGAUUAGCCAGAGCCAGUUAUGAUUGUGCAAUGCUACAAAGAAACAGACUGCUGCAGAGGUCCAUGUAACAAGGAGAAUUCCAUAUGCGAUUUUAGAGACCUUCUGACUUCCCCGCUACAUGAAAACUUAACCUCUUUUAGGAUAAUCAGAAAUUCAUAACAAGAACAAUAAGCUCAAUUAGAGGGAGCAUAUUACUAACAUCAUAUACAGCAAUCUGGAACAAGGAAAUUGCUGUCAGCAAAACAGCAUGGACUGAAAAAGCAACAUCAUUUGCUGCCACAGGUAUCAUCUGAAAUAUAUCAAAAAAUGCCGAAUCACCUUCAGCUAAUACUGAAUUUAUGCAGACAUUAAACAAAGAAAGAAAAAACUUCUAGCUUUCCAUAAGUUGAAUAUGCCUGAAGCAUGACAGAAUGAAUACACACGAUAUCCCAAGAACAAAGAUAUUAGUUAUAUAAUAAUUUACAAAUUGUUCCAACCUUAAAUAUGUUUUUCAUCAUAUUUAAAGUACUCCACACUAUAUAAUCAUGAGUCUGCACAAUUUUUUUCUAUAAUAGGCAUUUUCAUGGAUUCAAACACUUAACCAAGGACAAAACUGUGCUAACCAAAAAGAACCACCGUGGACAAUCUAAGGGUCGAUAACCUAACAAUGCAGUGCAAGAAUUUGAAGUUGGAACGCAAGAAUAUCAAAUUAUUAAAAUAUCUCGAUAGGAAACUCUGUAAAGUGACAAACAUAACUUUCCCCUUUCACUUCAACACAAACUGAGAUUAAUGAAUUUAACUUCAAUAAAAAAAGUGGAUAUGAACAAACCUCUUUCUGACCAUAUUUGUUUCUGUACUGUUUCUGAACAGUAGAGCUGAUGUACAGAGAUGCAUUGUAUAUGAGAUAGGAAGAGUGUUUCGUGAAAUUCAGCAACACGAAAUCAAAGUUCAAGCCCACCACACUAUACAACAAAAGCAAUACAAAACACAAUAAAAUAGAAGCAAAAAGUCAUACGAUAAGAAACUGAAAAGAAAAAAAUUUCACAAAAACUAGUCGUAAAUGGUACCUUUUUCUGCGAAAGUUCAAGAUGACUUGCGGGUAGAAACUGAUGGACCAGGAAGCAAAAGCAAACCAACCCAUAACUUCAUAGGAGACAUGCAGCGGAACUGAAUUCCAAGCAGCCAUGAUUCUUUCCUCCUCUUGUUCAAAGAACAAACCACAAAUCUCGAGUAUAGAAAUAUACUUUAUAUAUAUAUAUAUAUAUAUAUAUAUAUAUAUAUAUAUAUAUAUAUAUAUAACUGGUUUUAACUUAUAUUAAGUGCAGUUUUGUGUUUACUCUUGAAUUGAAAGUGUUAUAAAUGUGGUAUUUUCCAUGUCAAACUCAGAGAAAAUUGAGGCAGAAGAAUUUUCAUAUAAAUACAAAUGAUUACUUUUUUUAAACUUAAACUAAUUAAGUUCACUAAAUAAAUUAAACUGUCAUGUAUACAUUUAUUACAAUUAAUUAUCUUAAUAUAUACAUUUAUUACAAUUAAUUAUCCUAAUUAAAAAAACAAUACUUACAGAUAAAUAUACAAUUGUAUAUCUUUUCUCAUUUUACAUUCCAAACAGUUGUGAUAGCGUACUCCACUGUAUACGUGUUCAUACAUUCUUGGGGCAUCCUUCGGUGGCCUUUAUAUAUGAGCGGACUCUAACGUGCUGGCAAAAAUAAUAAACUUUCAUGCAAACACUUCCCAAAGGAUAAAAGUGUUCGAAAUGUCCUUAAAUUAGUAACAGAUGGACAGAGAACGGAACAGAAAGGAGUUUAUACGUUUGGGGUUUUGGUAAUUGCAUUCUUACUAUUCUAAUCUUAAUUAAAUAAUUUUUAUGAAAAUAUAAAAAUCGUAAUAAAAAACGUGAUAAUGUCAAAUAUUUAAUAUUAAAAUAUUUUUUUUAUUUCAAAUUUUGAAUGUUAAAAAAAAAUUAUAAUUAUAUAGAUAUCAAAAUAACAGAUAACAAAUAAAAAUGAAUAAAUAAGAAUUAAUGGAUCAUUUUAUAUUAUUUAUAUUAAUUUUAAUUUUAUAUACUUAUUCAAAUAAAGAUAAAUUAGUCAAAUGACGUGGAUUGCACUUUCUGCUUGAAAGAAGAAUAAAAAAACGCCAUUAUAUUAUAGAACAUUUGUAUUAACAAUUAAAUAAAUAGGUGACUUAUUUUUAUUAUUUUUUAUUAACAAAAUAAUAAUUUUGAAGUGUAAAAUAUUAUAAUUUUAAAAUAUAAUUGAAGUUAAAUAUUAACAUAAAAUUCUAUAAAAUAAAGAUAUUUCAUCAUACAUUAUUAUUCAUAUAUUAUUAUAGAGAUCUAAAUGUGUACGUAAUAGUAAGUUACGUGAAGAAUGCACAUUGUAAUGCGUGAAGAAUCGCAUUACGUACUUUUGUUCUGGUUUAAAUUUUUGGUAAAUUAGAACUAGAAAUAAGUUUAGGCUACAUGACAAUGUAAAACUUCAUAAAAUAAUAUUUUAGAAAUGAUGAUAGUUUAAAAAUAGUGAGAUUCGAUUAUUUAAUAUUAAAUGAUUUAGUUAUAAAUAGUUUUGUUAUAAACGAGUAUCAUUAUUUUAAAAUGUGUCAUUUCUUUAGAAAUCACUUUUUUUAAAGUUCUCUACUUUCUCUCUAAGAGUUUUAACUUCUAAGUCAUUUGUUUGAUGAUCAGGAGGUAUCUAUACAAUCAUAGCUUCAAGGUUUAAAAUCUAACCAAUCAGUGUUUGUCUUAGAGCAAAUAAGUUUCUAUUCAUUUUUACCUUUGAGCUUCGGUCGAGCAUGCAUGGAAAUUGUUUUGCAUGUAUCAUUUGGCCUUCCUUUCUUAUUCUUGGUUGACCUAGAGCUCUAAGGAUUUUGUUCGUUUUCAAUUUGAUGUCUUGUAGGCUCAUUUAGAGAUUCCUUGCGUUUCAAGAAAUCGGCGAAACGUUUCUUUGAGUUGGACAGUUUAUUAUAAGGUAAGGGAAGCUAGACCUUGUCUUAGUUGUGUUUAUAGUAUGAAUUUGGUAUUUCUAUGAUUUAUAGACGUUUUAGUGAAAUUGGUGUGAUUGGGUAAAUGUUAUAUAUGUUAAAUUGAUGUUUUGAUAAUACGGUGUUGUGUACAAUUGGAGUGAUGAAACGAUGAUGUUGGAUAUUGUUAUAAUUGUGUAUGAUAAUGAUGUUUCAUUUUUUAAAACUGAAUUCAAAUGGUUGUUGAAAUUUUGGUUAAGUCACUUAGGUUUCAAGCUCAAAAAGAGGGGAUUUUGGUUAGUGAAAUUGAGAAAUAGGUAUGAAAGUGUUAUGGUAAUUGAUUUGGUACUAUCAUGAGGUAAAUUGGGACUUGGUUGGAGGGCUAGAUGGUUGAAAACUGUUAUGUAUGAAAGGGAGGGUUUGUAGUUGAAGUUUUCAAGUGUUUUUGGAGUAAAAAAGGGGUUUUUAGUAGUGAGAUUUUGGAAUAAUGAGUAUAAAUUGUUUUGGAAAGUUAGAUGUCCAUUAUUAUACCUAUUAUGACUUGUUUAGGAAAUAAAACCAAUAAAAUUUGUUAUGGAAGUGUUCAUGGCUUCAUAAGUUGAGUUUUUAAUCCAUUUUAGAGCUUUUAAGGAUUGAAAAUGGAAAGUAGGAGAGUUGGGAUGAAACUGAGGUAUCAGAGUGUACUAGCAAGUGUAUUUAGACUUGAUUAUGCAGGUUGUAAAUUGGUAUGGAGGUUAGAAAUUGUAGAAUUGAGUUUGGGUAGCUUAUAGAAGUGAAAUUGGGUUUUAAUGGGUCGUUUUAAGUUACAACAUUGUUUUCAAAGUUUUCUUAAGGUUUGGAGGGUCCUAGAGGACUUUAGAAGUUGGGGGUAAAGUGUUCAAAGUGAGAAAAUUGAGUUUGGUAUCUACUAAUACCUCUUGGGCACCCCGGGCGCCACUAGAUGACACUACAACAGUUUUGGAGAGUUUUUGGGGUUUUGGUUAUCCGUUUUGAACGUUAUUUAGGUUGUUUUGGGAGGUUUUGGACCCUUCCAGAGUUGUUGGUGAGGGUUUCAAAGUUGUUUUCCUUACCUAAAUAUGAGUAUCAAGAUGCCAUGAAGAAAUGUUGUUAUUGUGUGAUUUCUGAUGACUUGUAUGGGUGUUUCUAUUUCUUUAAUGUAUGAUCAGUAUUCUCAUGUAUUGGUGUACUAUGUGAAUGUGAAAAUGUAUAGAAAUAUGUAUGAUUUCAAAUUGUUUUCAAGGUUGGAAAAGAGAAUUCCAAGGAGGAAUGUCUUAUUAGGGGAUUCAUGUGUAUAAAUAGUAUAAAUUGUAAGAAGCUAAUAUGAAGUUAUCCUGACACUCUAAUGAUCAUCCAUGCUCAAUUAGAGAGUGACGAGUCAUGUCGUGAGAGGAGCAGGAGGUCCUAGCCUUAAGGCCUUUCUUCAUGGUGGCAAAGGGCAUUUUCAGGACUAACCUUGUGUGGAAGCUUUGAAUGGGUCAGCUUUUCCACCACACAAGUGCAGAACCUUCCAUGCCUCUACAUUUAUAUUAUUUUGUGAAGGGUUUGGCCAAGUCUGAGUCAGUGGUGUGAAUGUGAAAGAUGUUUUGAUAUGUGCGAAUGGUGGGAGAUGUUAUACUAAUUGUGUGAUUGAAAUUGUAUGUUGAAUUCUUUUUCUAUGUUAAAUUGUUUUAUCACUAGCUUACCCUUGCUUUUUUGUGUUUUGUCUGUCUGUUGUUGUUUUCUCUUUUGCAAUGAUCACCUUAACCGGCAUGAGCUUAGGAAUGGGACAUAUUUUCAGUUGAUUCAGCGGUUGCUUGAGAUAGAAGCAACAUGAUAGAUACUUUUUUCUCUUCAAGGGUAGAAUCUUUUGCUCUAUUAGUCUCAAGUUCCUUGUGAGUUAUCAUAUAUGUACGUUUUAUUUUAGUAGUUUUACACUAUGAAAAUGAGAUUUUACAAUACUAAUAUUUGUUUAUCUUUUUCUUAUGUCACGUUAGUUAUUUAUUGGUAAAAGUCUCAUAAACUUUUAAUACCAGUGAUCGUUAGGGAAUCUUGUGAACAUGAGAAUACUAGAAAAUUGAAAAACUAAUUCAUGGAUUUAUCUGUCCUUUAUUCAAGGUAAGUGAAUAUUUUUAAGAUUAUCACAAAAUAUGGUAUUAUAUUCAAGUAAAUAGUAUAUUCAAAUAUUAGAUCGUUCUAUACAUGAUUAGUUAAGUCAUAAAGUAGAUACUAAACAUUAAACUCUAUUCUUAGCUAGACUUAUCAAAUAAAGCUCUAACUAUAACAACAUUACGCAAUACCUUAGCUUUAAGCCAUUUGAGGUGAAAAGGCUGCAAUUUGUCUCACUUUAAUGAAUAAGGAUUCAUUUUGAGAUCUUAAUGGUACACUAAAAAAAAGUAAUACAACAUCAAUGAAACAACUUAAAAAAGAUAAUUUGCUUAAUAUAGUUUUUAUUAGAUCUUUGUGUUAGUAAUUAGCAAACUAUAUAACCAACCUGUUGGAUAAGUUUUAUCCCUUUAGAAGACCAAACUUAUAAUAGUGAUUUACAAUUUGGUUAUGGGACAACUUAAUUGUCAUAAAGAAGAUUUUAUGUUAAAAGAUAUGUAUAAACAUUGAGUCUUUAUAAAAUCGAACCUUGAGGGUGUGGGUCAUAAUUCAUAAUUAGAGUCUAUAUAAUCCAUUUAUAAUGGUAUAUAGUCCCUUAACCUGGAGUCAAACUAAGCGAAAAGGUUUAAAUAAUGUUACUUUGGAUGCUUCUAUCAAGACUCUAAAAUGUUGUAUCAUUUUUGGUAUAAGGACUCCCUAAACAUCAUGUCUUCUUGAGUAUCUUUCAACAUGUCUAGGCUGGAUUGACACAUUGUCUGAGUGAUAACUUAUGGCAAAUUUCCAUGUAGUGUAUAUAGUUUUAAUAAAUAAAAUGUCUUUGGCAAUUUUGUUUUUGUUUUUUUUUAAAAAAGGAUAGGUCAACCUUCAAGAUGCAUAUCUUUUGGAAAAUUGGGUGGACGCAUUUGUCCAUAGUUCUUUUUGUUAUAGAACCUUAGUGCUUUCUUGUUGAGACUAACACAAAGAAGAUUUUUUAUGUUUGUUUAUUUUAGACAUUUUAUGGCUUCUAAAGGUCAGACAUGUGGGAGACGUAAAUUUAUAUCUGGUUAUUUCCCUAGUGUAAGUUUAUGUCAUAUCGCCAAUAACUCUGACAUAAAUUUACAUUGGAUUUCUUUACUCUUAUGUAAAUUUGAAAUAGUUAAAAAAUUUACAUUUCACAUUUUGUGUAGUCAUACGGAAAUUUACAUAUGUUAAUACUCUAUCAUAUAUAAAUGUAAACCUAUUAAUGGAUAGCCAUACAUAGAUUUAUGUUUUGUUAUAGUGUUAUGUCAAAUGUAAAUUUACGUCUAGCAAUGCAAUAUAACAUGAUUAUAGGGCUAUAAAAAGAUGGGAGUUUGAGGAUGUGCAUAGAUUGUAGGGCUAUAAGCAACAUAACCAUAAAAGUAUAAGCAUCUCAUUCCUAGAUUAGAUGACUUACUUGAUGAGUUACAUGGUGCCACCAAAAUUUCCAAGAAAGGCUUGAAGAGUGAAUAUAAUCAAAUUAGAAUCAAAGAAGGAGAUGAAUGAAAAACUACCUUUAAGACUAAGUUUGGACUAUAUGGGUGGUUAAUCAUGCCUUAUGGUUUGUCCAAUGCACCUAGUACCUUCAUGAGACUCAUUCAUCAUGUGCUUACAUAAUUCUUAGGCAAGUUUGUAAUGGUCUACUUUGAUGACAUUCUCAUAUAUAGCUUGUAUAAGGAAGAGUAUGUGCAUUAUUUAAGGAGUGUACUAGAGACCCUAGGAUUUUAUACUAGGGAUCCCAAGGACAGAGAAAGGUAGGGAUUAUAUCUUUGUGGUGAUGGAUAGGUUUUUAAAGAUAAACUAUUUUAUCCCAUGUCAAAAAGUGGAUGAUGCAAGCUUAAUUGCAAAUCUCUUCUCUAAGGAAGUAGUAAGACUUCAUGGCAUCCCUAGAGCCGUAGUAAGUGAUCAUAGUUCUCAAGCCACUUUUGAAGGACAUUGUGGGGGAAAGCUUGGAACUAAACUUUUAUUUUGUACCACAUAUUACCCCCUAAACCGAAGGUCAAACUGAUGUGGUUAAUAGGACUUUGGGUUAAACAUUUAGGUGCAUGGUAAUCCAUAAUCAUAGGAAGUGGGAAGAUCUUCUUUCUCAUAUAGAGUUUGCAUAAAAUAGAGUGGUGUACUCUAUUACUUUACACUCUCCCUUUGAGAUUGCCUAUGGGUUCAAUCCCUUCACACCUUUAGAUCUCUUUCCCUUUCCCACUUGUGAGGCAUGGACUUGCCAAGAUGGAGAAAAGCAUGCUAAGAUGAUCUAAGACUUACAUGCUUAAGUCAAGGGUAAUAUAGAAAGGAAGGUAGGGCAUUACCAAAGGUUUGCCAAUAAAGGUAGGAAAGAGGUCACCCUUAAAGAGGGUGAUUGGGUAUGACUUCACUUGAGGAAAGAAAGGUUCCCUACUCAAAGGAAUUCCAAACUCCCCCCUAGAGGGGAUGACUUUUUCCAAGUAGUUAGGAAAAUAAACUAUAAUGCUUAUGAGUUAGAUUUAUCCCUUGUUAUAACAUGAGUCACACUUUUAAUGUGGGUGAUCUUUCUCCUUUUGAUGUAGGGUUUAAGAAUUCGUGGCUCAAUUCUCUCCAAAAAGAGGAGGAUGAUGAGUUCAAGAAUCACCAUGAAUGAUAAAUAUUAGGGUUUAACAUUAUAUGGUGUGUAAGUGAAUAAGCAAGUUCAAGAAAGGUUCCCAUUGAACAUUAAGAUAACCAAGGUUAUCUAGAUUGAAGGUUCACUUUCAGUACUCUAGAGAAGAAGAGAAUUUUAAUUAAAAGAAACUAAAAACAAGAUACCAAAUGGAACAUAAUAUGUGAAAUAAUAGGAAAAUACUAGAGGGGGUGAAUAGUGUUUUAAAACUUUUUCGCAAAACAACAUCUAAUGGAUUCUCAGAAGAUAAAUGAUUUAAAAUAAGAUGUUUAGAAGGUGGUUUUAUGAAGGGCAUAUAAAGGAAAAUGUUUUUAAGAAGCGAAGCAAUAAAGCACAAAUUUUAUACUGGUUCACUCAACCUAAGCUACAUUCAUUUCUCCCUUUAGAACUUUGAAGAGGUUCCACUAAUCUUCAAUAAAAUUACACAAGUUUUACCUCUCCAAGUUUACAUCGAGUAUUCACACCACUCCUAGUUCACGUAGUCAACACCACUAGUUCAAGUUUAACCACUCCUGAUAUACAAGUAUUCUAACCAAUUCUGGUAUCAACCUUAGACAACUAUUUAGACUAUUUAACUCAACUAUGUUAAACACCAAGUGUUUUAAUUUUCUUUACAAUGUACAACACAAUCAGUGUUAAGAGCAAAUACAGAUGGGUAACUCUCAAAAGGAGGAUAAAAACAAUACAACAAAGUUUGAGAUUUUGCUAAGGUUCUUUCUCUUAGAAAAUUUUGCAUUAGACGAUAUAACAACAAAGUAAUAACAAGCUUGUAUGAGUGUUCAAAAGUUCUCAAUGUUAUGCUUCUUAUCUUCUCUUCAAGCUUCAGUAUAUUUAUAGCUUUUGUUGAGAAAUGACCGUUAGAUAAAGAGGUAGACUUCAUGUAGAACUGGUAGCCUUUUUAGGUGAGAAGUCAGACUCAAUCUACUUUGCAAAGGUACAAUGAUUUUCCAUAGCUUUCAUCAAAACAUAGCUUGUACAAUGUGUCAGAGUAUAAGUUUUCAAGGGAAACAUUCCCAAAAUAUUUUUCAUAUCUUUAAACGUCUUUAUCUUUGCUACAGUGAUUUUGAUAAAGUCUUUGUACUUUUGUGAUCUGCACAAAUAUCAAGAAUAAUGUAUACAUGCAUAUAAGCACUUUAUCAUAUAUACAUUAAAUAUUUUGAACGUUGAUAAGCGUUAGGUUGUAUUACGUGUUUAAUACAUUUUAUCAUUUGUCAACUCAUUAAUAAAUGCAUCGUUUAAUAAAACAUUCAACAUAUGAAUAUCAAAGGGUAUAAAUAUUAGAUGCUUAUAUUGAAAAGUUGUUUGAGAUAUGUAGUGUUUAACGACUCUUGUUAGACGAUACAUUUUAUAAGACGUUUUCUUGAAUUAAUACUAUUUGAGUAAAACAUAUUUUAAGCUUCAGUAUUAGCAUAGAGAUAGACACUUAUGUUAGUAAGGUGCUAUUUGUUAAAACGAUAUUUGUAACACAUAUCGUCCAUUGGAUGAUUCUUUAAUAAAGAUGCAUCCUUUCAUUAGACACUGUUUAUAAAGCUUUGUCUAUCAAGCAAUAUAGUCUAGAAAACGUUGUUCCGAACUUGUUUUUAUUUAGAAAGGAUCUUUUAAAAUAUAUUUCUUUUAAACAUUAUUUCUUUAAAACAAUAUUUCAUUCAGAGGGAUAUUUCAUUUAAUGCUUUUUGUUAAACUUGAGCCUUUAUGCAAAAGUUCUCCAACAUGUAUGCUCGAAAACAUUCCUGCUUAAGAGUAGUUCUAGAGAUCAUGUGACUAAGAUGGGUAGAUUCACCAUCUAUCAUCUGAUGACUGAGGUGUCUUUCAACCUGCUACACAUGAUUCUUAUCCACUUCGUCCAAUCCAUCAAGGACUUGAGCAAGAAGGUGUACAACUACUGUUACACCUAAUUAGUCUAUAGAUUGAUUGUUGAUCGGAAUGUUCUUAAGCAUCUGAUGUUUGAAAAUGUUCAUGUUCCCGUAAGGAACCAUAUUGUAAUGAGUGGUGCCUAUUGUGGCCAAGUAUUCAACAUAAGCAACAUCAGAUAUAUGCAACUGAAAGCAAAGAAGCUAGAAAAGAUCCCUCCUUUGGAGAUUGUGAGGAUUGCAAACAUAAGGAGCAAUAUACCAAAUCAUCCUCACAUGGACGUAAUGAAGAAAGAAUCCCUAAGAGUUACAGGGUUCAACAAGACACUAAAUCUCUUGAAGAUGGAUAUGAAGGGUUGCCAAGCCCUAAGGGAUUACAAAAGACAGAGGCUGCUAGAAAAGGAAAAGGAAGCAACUACUAUUGUUGAAGCAUCCCCUUCAUCCUCUGAGGAAGCAGGGUCUGGUCAACCUUUCAACCCUACAUCAAUAAAGGCUCAAUCAUCCAUAGGUGGAACAUCUUCCAAAAAAUCUUCUUCACCUAAGAAAUGUCCUGAAGAGAAAUCAUACUCUAAUGAUGGACAUGCUUUUACUACUGUGAAGAAAUGUGCCGGGAAACACCCCUCAACAUUGAAAGGAGUAACCAUUGCAGAACCCUCUCUAAAAAGGCCUAAAUUGGUCCUUAAACAUUCAUCUCACAAGCGUUUAAAGACACAUCGUUUGGACCCCUUACAACGUCUGACAUCCCUUUUCCACCUCCCAACCAACCUUCCCAAACACUAUCCACUCCUCCCACUCAAGCCCAACCCUUCUCACCCCCACACAUACCCUUAACUAAACCCAUAUCACCUAUACCGUCUACACCUCCAACCUAAACUCCACCAUCUUCACCUCCUCAAACCACAACUCAAACAUCACCACCUUCACCACUUAGACAACCUUCACCCCCUUCAACUGACAACUAAGAUGACCAACAAACCAUAAUAACCACAACAACUGAACCUCCUAAAAACAUUCUUACCCUUAUCUCUCACACCUUCGCACACACCUCCAAACCCUAUAGACACUUCAACUUCCUUCUCUUAUACCUACCAUCAAGCCUCUCAUACGUACUUGAACCCAUACCAAAAGUCCACCAAAACCUACCACAUUUUCCACCCUCACAAUAGUCUCCUAAGUACUGUACAACCCUUUCUACACCCUACACAAAAAGCUAUCACCACACCUCAUCUCAAGACUACCUUCACCUCCCUCUAAACUCCAUUGUAACCCUUCCACCACCAACUUGGACACAUGUACACCAUCCCCACCUACCUCACCUGACACCUCAAAACUUUCCCCUUGGAACAUCAUAGUUGAGAGACCCAUAAAAGUAGCCCUAAGGUCACCCAACAAGCCUCCACAACCCAUCCACCACAAACCCUUAACGAGGAAGCAUAUAACAAGAAAAUGAAGAGCUUCAUCUGGCUUUUGAAAAAAUUUUGGAAGAAGCAUCCAACAUUGGAUUCUUUCAACCUGGUGAUGUCGGUGUCUAUGGCUCUCAAUCCAUUGUCUUAGCUCUACCAGCUACUCAUCUAGGAUUGAACCUACUUCCAGAAUUUUUCAAGCAGUUCUUUUUUAUGGUCAUGCAUCACAUGUUUCACUUUAAAUGUUUGUGAAACCUGAUGUCAUAACACUUCGCAUGCCUGCUCUUGACGAGAUGUCACUGAAAAUGAAGAAGAUUGAAUUGAUUAAGGAUGUGUGCCCUACUCUUACAUGUCUACUUUUAGCCAAUCCCAAAAAGACUUGAAAUUCUAACAUUGCAAUAAGUUUUAAUAAGUUUGUUGAGAAAAAAAUAUGUGGACUUUUAAAGAUUCUUUGACACUCAAGUUAAUAAAAAUUAGUAAAUAAUAUGAUAUUAGUAAAUAAUAUCAAGUAAAAAAAGUAGAUACUUAAGUGAUGUUGUAAUUAAAUAUUUAUAAACCUUUUAAGCUUAUGAAAGAUAAUUUAUUAUAUUAAUAUAAUAUAGAUAUCUCUUAAAACCAACUUGUCUUCCACACAUUUUAAAAAAUAGGAAGUUUUUUAUUAUUUUUAGAUAUAUAAAUUAGGUUAAGUAUGAGCAAUGGAAAACUAAUAUUUGUAAAUUAUAUAAAAGGACAAAAUGUUUUUUCAUCCAUAAUAAUUAUAUAUAAAUAUAUAUAUAUAUAUAUAUAUAUAUAUAUAUAUAUAUAUAUAUAUAUAUAUAUAUAUAUAUAUAUAUAUAUUAGAAAUUUUCAUUUUGAUUUACAUAAUUUAUAUUUAUAUUUUGUCUUUGCUCAUAUUUUAAAAUUAAAAAUUAAAAUUAAAAGUAAAUUAUGUAAAUAAGUAAAGUGACUACUAUAUAAUUACUCAUUAUUAGUAUUAUUUUUUCCUUUAAUUAUAUAUAGUGUUGUUAUCCAGAUUUUAAGUAUGAAACUGUAGAUAGAUAGUGAGAUCCUAAAAUAAUUGGAGUAUUGUUUGGAAAAUACUAAUUAUAUUUAUAUAAUAUUAUAGAUUUAUGUUUUUAUAUAAUAAUAUUUAUAUAGAGAAUAUAAUAAUAAUAUAAUAAAUAGUAAUAAAAUAAUAAAUAAUAAUUAACCUAUCAAAAUUUAUUUGCAAUGUACAAAUAUGAUCAUAUAUAUAUAUAUAUAUAAAAGAUAUUUCAUUAUUAAUAGAGUUAAAAAACUUUAUUAAACCGUGCUCAAUCUUUAAUAUUGAGCGGAUAAAAAUUUAAACACAUGAAGGGUCCUUUUCACUAUAAAAUAAUGCAUAUAAUUUUAUUUUAAUUAAUUUUUGAUCGUAAAUUUAUUGUUUACAGUAUAAAAAAAAAAAGUAGAAAUAAAAGUAAACAAAGGUGAAAGUAUAAUAUAAAAUGAAAAAGGUUCUUUUUUUUUUUAAUAGCAUUUUCUUAGUUGAUCUUCCUGAGUCUGAGAUUUGAUUUUUCUAGUAACAUAAAGUUUCAAUUGUAGAUGGAGUGUUUUUUAAUCAUAAAUUGGAGAUAUAUUUUAUCCCAGCUUAUCCUUUGGGAGAAGAUUAUUUUGAUGCCAAAAAUUUCCAAUUAUCUUAAACAAUAAGCUGUAGUUUUUUUUUUUUUUUUUCAUUUUUGUUUUCUUUCCAAAAAUAAAAUCAAAUAAAAAUAUGUAACAGAAUGGAAGCGAAAAGCAAAACAUUCCACUCUUUAAAUUUUUCUGAGAAAAAUAUAAUAUUAGAAAUUCCAACUCUCAGAUUUUCGAUUUAAUUGGAUAGGAACGUUGGAAGAGCAGAAUCGGAAUCUGGUUUUGUGCAGCUGUUGUUUCACGAUCAAAACAAUGUCAUCUCCGGAUGUUGUCUCGCUAUUGGAGAGUUCGAAGGAGCUCGAUCGGGUAAGGAAAGAACAAGAGGAGAUUCUCUCAGAAAUCAACAAGCUCCACAAGAAGCUUCAAACGAGUCAGUUAUCUCUUAUUCAAUACUUUUAUUUUUAGCUGAUUUUUGUUUUUUCAAUAUUGCAUUUUCGUCUUUUUUUUUUACCUGAGGUUCUUAAUGUUUAUGUUUGUUUGUAAAUCAGGUGUUUCUUUCUUCUUUUUAUUUAUUUUUAUCCAUUUUAGUUUUGCAUAAAUUGAAAUUAAAAUAUAAAAUUAUAAAAAAGAACUGUUUUGACUGUGUUGGCUGUUUCUUUUGUGGAGUUACAACUUUUAUUAACCUCAAAAACGGCCUUUGUUUUAUGUUGUUUUUUGGGUUGAGAUUUUUUGUUGAAAUUGCUUUUAGAAAUUUGAAUUUCACGAACAUAGAUACUAACAUGAUUGUUUGUAUUUCAUAUAUAAAAAAAUUGAUUUGCUUCUGUUGAUUGGUAUUAAGAUGAAAUAUUGGACAGGAAAGUCUAUGAGAGAAAAUUGUGUGAUAAACAUACUUGUCCAGUAUAAUAUGGUUGUGGCAAAUGUUAUGAAAAUCAGUAGAAUUGCUAGUGUGAAAAAAAUGGAAGUCAGCCCCCUUUAAAAGGACAGAAAAAUACAUAAGGAAAUGUUUGUUAUCACAAUCUGAAUUUCAAGUGGGACACUGCUAUUAAUGUGUUUUAAAGACACUUCCAUGCGGAAGUUAGUUCCGACUGUCAUCACAAUGUACGGGUAUAUUAGUGAGAAUAAUGAACAAUGUACGGGUAUAUUAGUGAGAAUAAUGAACGCCCUUGGUAGGAUCUUUGGAUAUCCAUAACGGUAUGAGGAUUGCAGGGUUGAGUGGUGUUGAGAAUCGACGUUUUGAUAUUUUCGUGGUAGUAUACAGACUUCAGUUUGGGCUUGAUCUCACAUGGCUGAGCAGAAUCUAGGUUUCAGUUUCAUGACCUGGAUUUUCAUCUGAGUUUGGAUGGGAGCCCUACAGCAACUUAAUGGCCAUGCUAACAGUGGUUUGAGUCAAGUAGAUAAAAUAUUAAGAGAAACGUUAAAAAUAUACUUUACUCUAAGAUAACAUUGAUUGAUCAUCAAUAUAACCUCUAACAGACAUCAAGUUGUGGCAAUGGGGCAAGACUGGGUUCUUGUUGCUGAUUAUUAAUAUCCAAACUUGAAAUGGAAUAUGUCAUGCUCUAAAGCCUGUGAAAAGUGGACAGCUUUGGCCAAGUUAGAGAGUUCAGCAAUAAAUUAAAAGUUUUUUAAUGUUUUCUCUCGUUGUGCCUGCCCAUUUCUUGGCUUAUUUUAUGAACCUUUGCAACUAUGGUUGUCAAUCUCAAAUUAACUCCUACAAUUUUGUGAUUUUUAAUCGUCAAGCUCUCUGUCAAAUUCUUAUUUUGGUUAGGUCAGGCAUAAAUGCAGAAGUAAAAAAGCGAGUCUAUGUAUUUGAAAUCAACUUUAACUUUUGUCGUCAUUGAGCCCAAUAUGUAUGAUAGGGCUUUUCCUUGACUCAAAGGAUUUGAUGAAAUUAACUUAUGUUUUCUCUUUAAUAGCUUUUUUUUUUCUUUUAUGAAUUUACAUAUAAUUUGGCUGUUUAGUUGUUUGAUCUUUUUCAGUAUUAAUUUAUGUGUACACUUUGUUGUUGUUUUGCUAUUUUGUUUUAUUGUAAAGUUGAAUUAUUGAAUUGUUGACAUGUAAGAGUAUUUUUUGAAGCCUAUAUGCUAUGAAAUAAGUUUUUUAAUAAUAUUUUUUCUAUGAAGUAAACUUGAAAGUUUACAAGUUAACUCUACAAGUCAAGUUUAUAGAAGUUACACGCGUUUAUAGAAGUCUGUCAACAAGUCUUUGAUAUAUUUCUUAGUCUCCUGCAAUAUCCUCCUCUAUACUUCCUAACUUCAUGUUUGGAUCAAUUAGAGUACUAGUCGGUUUGCAAGAUGGUAAAGUGGGUGUUGGGUUUGUUGGGUGCAUGUUUUUGUUCCCUUUCUAAGGGCAAUUGGAAGAUCUGGGUUUUGGUGUACCUGUGCUUCUAAAUUUUCAUAUAACAGAAAUACAAAAAUUUAUAGGAUUACAAAUAGUUACCUCAUGUAAUGGUGGUAGGUUGGAUUCUUGGACAUGGAUAAGUUUUGGAAUGACCUUUUCUCUCCUUGAUUUUCCCAAAUUUUCCACCCUCAUUGGAUGUAGGCUUCAGGUGCAGGUUGAGCUGUAGGUUGAGGUGCAACUUUUGUAGGUUUAAGAGGUUUACAUGUAGGUUCCAAUGUCAAAUUUGGUAGUUUGAGAGGCUCAUCUUCCUCUCUCAUAUCUUUCCCCAGAAUAUGAGGUUGCUUGAAGUAGCUCUCUUGUUCAUUGAAGGUGACAUCUUUUGAUACAAUUGUUUGGAUGGUGGGUGAUAACAUUGACAGUCUUAGGAUCCAAUUUUCUCCUUCUAUUACUAUGAACAUGCUCAAAGAAUACACACCCAAAUAUUCUAGGUUGAAGUUUAUUUAUAGGGUCCAUGUAUGGGUAGAAUGAGGAUAAGACUUUCUUGGGACUCGUUGAUCCUAAGAUUUUGAGGGCAAUCUAUUGAUGACAUAAGUGACAGUAAAAAGGGCUUCUCCCAAAGAAUAUGAUAUGAAAAUGUAGAGCUCUAGUUUGUCCUAAUAAGUACCCAUUUUUCCUUUCAACAAUGUCAUUUUGUUGAGGCAUGUUAACACAUGAAGAUUCAUGAAUUAUCUCACUCUUUUUGGAAAAAUAGAGUUGAACACAAGAUUAAAGUAGUCUUUAUCAUUACGAGACCUAAUUCUCUUAAUAUUGACUCUAGAUUUAUUCUUAAUCAUUGUGACAAACUGAAAAAAGUAGCACUAACCUUGUGUUUCCAUAGGAAAACCCAAGUCACUUGAAUACAAUCAUCUAUAAAGGUUAUAAACUAUUUAUCACCUAAGAUAUUACCAAUAUUAGCUGGACUCCAUACAUUAGUAUGAACAAGAUAUUGCUAAUGAAAAAAUUUGUGCACUUGUGUUUUUCAAACUCACACACCUCACAGUGGAGAGCUUCCACCAUUAAAUUCUUAAACAGCCAAGGGAAAAUAAAUUUUAUCACUUGAAAUGAAGGAUGUCCCAGCUGACAGUAGUAUAGUUGAGAUUUCUCUUAACUAGUCAUGAUGGAUUAAGAUAUGAGGGAGUGGGUAUUGAUAGGUUGAUUAGGGUCCCCUCUGUAGUAAAGGUCAUUGCAUUAUCUAGCAUGUCCAAUUAUCCUCUUGAUUUGUUGUCCUGUAAAAUACAAUAAUUAAUAAUUGCAAUGGAAAGAUAUUGCCAGAUCAUGAUAGAUAAUUUUUUCCAUUUAGUUUCUCGGAGGUAAUUGAUAGACUUCCUGAGAAGGAAAGAGUAUUGUCAGACGCCAUCACUGAAGAAGACGAAUCGCACUAGCGAGGAACAAGAAAACCCCAAGGGUUUAGACAGACGGAACUGUGCCGACGGCAGGCGACAGCGGACAGCGGCACCAAAUAGAUGAUACAAGACAGAAACCAGAGCCGGAUCGACCAACUCUUAUACCAAAUUGAAUAUAGUGAAAAUUGUAUAUUAGAUUAAUUUUCCUUGUGUUGAAUAUACACAUAGGUCCUCUAUUUAUAAUAGAAGAAAUAUAGACUAAGUCUAAAAUACAAAUAAAAAAUAAUAACAAACUAACUAAAGAUAAAAGAUAAAUAUAAAAUAAAGAUAAUAUAUCAAACAUAUGGUCAGCGGCACUAAAGUCUAGUUGCCAAUACUGACAAAAGGAGUAUCUAAAGCAUUAAGAGCAAAAGAAAAUGGAAAUUUACCAGAAUAUGUUAGAGAGCAUGUACCUGUGUUCUUGAAAUUCUGCAAUUCUAUAGCAGUUCGGAAUUUAUUCCAAGUUUCCAUUCCAGAAUUCAUGAUUUCAGCCAUAUACAUGGAUUAUGCAGCAAUAAAGGCUGCAAUAGUGUUCGAAGUGGUGCAACAAUAAAGGCUCCAUAGGCAUAGGAAAAGCUCAGUAAUGAAGGGUGUAACCCGCUUCAAUAUGGGGUCAUCAGUAAAGGCUGCAAUAGGGACUAGAGAGGUGUAACAAUGAAGGCUGCAUUUUAAGGUUGAUAAAGACAGUCAGAUACUCAUAAAGAUAAGGAGUUCUGAAACCAUCUCAUAAUUUAGAAAGAAAUAAUAUAUUUCUUAUAUAUUUCCAUAAUGAGAUCAAUGGACCUAUAAAAACAUGGGCCUGCUGUUUAUUUUGUGAGCUAAUUCUAGGGGAACUAGUCCCCUUGUAGUUAUGAGAUUGUUUAUAAAUUUAUAAUACUAGUUUUAAUAGCAAGAUACAGCUAUGAUAAAGAUUAAAAAUAAAGCAAGAAUAAAAUAAAAAAUUCCUAAAACACACAAUGAGCAACACUGUUUUGACAAAAACAAACAAUCCUUUGAGUUUGAGAAGUAAUCUAAAAUCAAUAUUUCCAUUAUAAUUUGGGUAUUUGAUAAAUGUUCCUUUAAAGACGAGACAGUUUGCCAACAAAUGCAAACAAUUUAAUACAUGAGAAAUAAGCUUGUUAAAGAAAUAUUGAUUAUUGAAGAAAAGUAUAUAUUACAGCAACAAAACACUUAUUCCAAUUGGUAAAAUCAUUCAUGUCUUCACCAAAGAGCUCACACAUUUGUCUUGGUUUAAUAUAGAGGUAUAUCUACAAUCCUCCCCUAUUCUACAAUUUAAUUUUGUCUCCCCAAAACAAAUUGAAUUUUAGCACAAAGUAGGAGGUCUAGAUCAUUAUGCACAUUUCAGGGACAAUGGCACUUGAGUUAGCGAACGUGUGUGAGACAUGAUACAAAUGGUUUGUGAUAGGUUCUUGUAAUCAAGAACCUAUGGAAAACACUUGUAAACACACAAAGAACAAUUUCUCUGAAUUGUGUAACCUCCUUUUAUUGCAAAGAAUCAGAAAGAAUGGUGCUUACAAGGUAACCCGAGAGCUUAACCUCUCUCCAAAGAACAACAAGAGUUCCCGCAAAACAACAAUACUCCCAAAAGUCCCCGACUAAACUCCCUACGCCCUCUUUUAUACAUUCUGCUAACAGAAACUAACAGAACAAACCCCCUCAAUACCUAACUGCCCUGGCAGUUAGGUCCUGUAACGUUUCUUUUCCUUCUAUAUACAAUUAAUUCCCUAACAUUACUCCCCUCUCCUCCAANAACCUUGUCCCCAAGGUUAAAUUCCGGAUAUUGCUCUUGUAUAGUAGCCACAUCUUCCCAUGUGGCACCCUCUUGUCCUCCUUCUUGCCACUCUAUCAACACCUGGGGUAUUUCUUCCGAUUCCAACUGCCUUGUUCUUCUCCCUAAGAUCUUGACUGGCCAAAACAGGGGUUCGUCCGCUUGUAACUCAGCUGGAAGUUCCUUUUCAACCUUCUUCUCACCCACUGCCUUCUUGAGUUGUGAAACGUGGAAUAUUGGGUGUAUUCUUGCCGCCUCAGGUAAUUGUAAACGAAACGCUACUUUCCCCACCUGUUGUAACACCUCAAAAGGUCCAUAAUACCUAGCAGAGAGCUUCGGAUGCAACCGUGUUGGCAUGGAUGAUUGUCUAUGGGGUCUAAUCUUUAAAUAGACCCAAUCUCCCACUUGAAUAUCUGCUUCUUUCCUUUUUUUAUUCGCCUGAGUAACCAUGGCCUCCUGAGCUUGCUUUAAAUGGACCUUCAGCUGCUUUAAAGCCUCAUCCCUUGUUAACAAAUCUUAAGCCACCGACUCCAUUGCUGUCUCUCCCGGAAUAAAAUGACUCAAGGCUGGUGGUACUCUCCCUAGACUAUUUCGAAAGGAGAACACCUGGCUGCACCUUGAUAACUGGUAUUAUACCAGUAUUCAGCCCGUGGAAGCAUCAUCUUCCAACUCCUAGGCUGUUCUGAGCAGAAACACCUCAAAUACCCCUCCAAAAUCCUGUUUACCACCUCAGUUUGACCAUCCGUUUCAGGAUGGUAUGCCGUGCUCAGGUUAAGUUGAGUCCCCUGUUUCUUGAAAAGCUCCUUCCAGAACACGCUUAAAAAGAGGGGAUCUCGAUCACUGACUAUGGACGUAGGAAUCCCGUGCAAUCUAACUAUUUCUUGGAUGAAAACUUCGGCCACCGUUCGGGCAGAAUAGGGGUGUUUAAGUGCUAUGAAAUGGCUGUACUUGCUCAACCUGUCAGCGACUACCAAGAUUGCAUCAAAUCCUUGUGAUUUGGGUAACUUCACAAUAAAGCCAAGACUUAUCUCCUCCCAAAUGGCCUGCGGAAUCGGAAGCGGUUGUAGCAGACCCUGAGGUGAUGCAGCUAAGUACUUAUGUUGCUGGCAAAUUACACAGCUCGCUACAAACUCCGUUAUCGUUUUCUUCAUCCCCUGCAAAUAUAAAGAUUAUGCCACUUUUCGGUAUGUGUGAAACACUCCAGAGUGGCCCCCAGUGCUAGUCACGUGAAACUCUGCUAGGAGCUUGGGAAUCCAACUCGACUUUGCUGAAAAAACCAGCCUUCCUUUGUAGUGAAGGCGGUCAUUCUCCAACGUGUAAGCUUCAUGGCUAUUCGGGUCCCCCUUGAUGUCCUCCAUUAUCUUCCGAAGUGUGUCGUCCUCUUCCACCUCUUUUAAGAUCUCCUGGAAAUCAUGCCAAUAAGGCCUAGAGAUAGCUCGCAGCUCCCCCUCCUCCAUCUCACUUUCUCCUUUCCUAGAUAAGGCAUCUGCAACUUUGUUAGAACUACCCACCUUAGAAACAAUUUCAAAAUCAUACCCCAUCAACUUGGCUAUCCAAUUCUGUUGGCUGUGUGUUGUUAUCCUUUGCUCUAGCAAGUAUUUGAGGCUGCGUUGAUCGGUAUGAACCACAAAUCUUCUCCCCAAUAGAUAGGGUCGCCAGUGUUGGAUGGCCAUGACUAAUGCCAUCAACUCCUCAUAAAUGGACUUACUCCGAGACCCCUCCGACAGCGCCUUGCUAAAGAAAGCAAUGUGCCUUUUAUUCUGCAUCAAUAUCACCCCUACUCCACUCCCGGAAGCAUCACAUUCAACGUGAAACUCUUGCGUGAAAUCGGGCAAGGCCAACACCGGUGCAGAUGUCAUUGCAGACUUCAAAGCAGCCAUGGCUGUCCUGGCUCGCUCUGACCAUUCAAACUGCCUCUUCUUCAACAGUUCGGUAAGGGGUUUUGCCAACUCUCCAUACUUCUGCACGAAUCUCCUAAAGUACCUCGUCAAGCCUAAAAAGCCCCUCAAUGCCUUCAAAUUCCUGGGUUCAGUCCAUUCCAGCACGACCUUAAUCUUAUCUUGGUCCAUCUCCACUCCUUUCUCGGAUAUCUGAUGUCCCAGGUAUUGAAUCCUCUUCUUCCCAAACUCACAUUUUUUUUCAUUUGCCACCCAGUUGUUCUGUUCUAAGAGCUGCAACACCAGUUUUAGAUGAUGGAGGUGCUUGGUCCAAGAUGGGUUGUACACCAAGAUGUCGUAAAAAAAAACAAGCACCCACUUCCUCAAAUAAGGCGCCAUUAACCUGUUCAUAGCACUCUGGAAUAUUGCUGGAGCAUUCGUUAACCCGAAGGGCAUCACCAAAAACUCAAACAGGCCCUGAUUUGUCCGGAAGGCAGUCUUUUGAAUGUCUUCUUCACCCAUGCAUAUCUGAUGAUAACCUGCCUUCAAGUCCAGUUUAGAAAAGAACCUUGGACCCUUAAGCUCAUCCAAUAGUUCCUCAAUCACCGGAAUAGGAAAUUUGUCUGGAUCGGUUGCCUUGUUAAAUGCCCGGUAAUCCAUGUAGAAUCUCCAACUUCCAUCUUUCUUUUUUACCAAAAUCACGGGGCUGGAAAAAGGACUGUGGCUCAGCCUUAUGACCCCUGCUCGUAGCAUAUCAGCAACUUGUUUCUCAAUUUCUUCUUUCAUCAAAUAAGGAUACCUAUAGGGUCUUACAUUUAUAGGGUUGGUGCCAUCUUUUAGAAGUAUUCGGUGUUGGGCAUCACAUGCAGGGGGCAGACCUUCUCUCUCCUGGAACACCUUGUAGUGGGAUGCAGGACUGCUCUGAUCUCCUCCUGCUGCCCUUCAGUCAAAUCACCAAACACGUCACCUCGUGCUCCCUGCUCCAUUACGCACAUUUCCCAAACCAAGAACCAUGAGUCAGCAUCCAUUAUUUUUGCUAGAGCUCCAGGAUUCAACAACUGUCUCGCCAAAGCUGGAUCACCCUUGAUCACUCUUUUCUCUCCCUCCACGACAUAUUGCAUGGACAUAUUUCCCCAAUUAAUGGUCACUUCCCCCAAUGUCGCUAACCAAGCAAUGCCUAGUAUUAGAUCAACUCCCCCCAGUUCAAAGACAUGCAUGUCUUCCUCUACGACCACGUCCCCCAACUGCAAUCUCACCUUCUCGCAACGUCCCCCUGUCCACUUCUUCUGGCCAUCGCCCAAACUCACCGCAUAAGUGGGUGUGUCUGUCACGGGCAGUCCCAGCUCCUCCACCACACCCCGGCCAAUGAAAUUGUGACUGGCCCCACUGUCAAUCAGCACCACCACUCUCCUUCCCCCUAUCAACCCAUUCAACUUCAUUGUCUUGGGAGGCGUCAGGCCCUCGGCCGAACAGGCCGACAACUCCAGGGGUUUCGCGUCCAGGUUCGACAUUUCUUCCAUCUCCUCUUCUUCGUCGUCCGCCAUCAAAAGGACCCUUAAGCUCUUCUCUGCACAUCGAUGACCCGGCGUAAAUGGUCUGCCGCAUUGGAAACACCUUCCCUCUUCAUGCCUUUUCAGAAACUCCGGGUAAGGCAAGUUUCUGACCAUCCGAACCUUGUUUUCUCCUCCGACUGGGGUAUUAACUCUCGCGUUGAUGCUAUUCGCCACCGUCGCCCCUUCUCUCCUGGCCGGACCCACUCCUUCUGUCCCACUAAUUCUUGUCGCGAGACCACGAUCUCCAUCAUUCCUCACGAUCGACGCCGCAGUUCGAGUACCCGCGGGUUGCACCCUGAACCCGUUCCAAACUCCUCCUCAUGCACGGUUUAUGGCGUCCUCCACGUCUCUCGCAACCCUGAUUGCGACCAUCAAAUCUGGGGGACUCUGAAUUCUGACCUGGCCCUUAAUGUCUUCCCUUAACCCCGCCAGGAAGAAACCCAGAAUCAGCUCCUCCGACAGUCCCUGGGUCUGUCCUAGUAACAUCUCAAAACUUCUUACAAACUCUUUCAGCGCUCCCUCUUGCCUUAGGGUGGCCAUCUGUUCAUAGACCGUUCCCCGGAACCCACCACCGAAUCGAUUGAUCAACCCAUCCUUCAAACCCAUCCACGUCCGAUUCUUUGUUUUCUCCCGCCAAUACUUGAACCAAUAACUCGCGCUUCCCUCCAUACUAAUGUAAGCGAGUUCGACCUUAUCCCCCUCUUCUACUUUUUGAAUGUCAAAAAAUCUUUCAGCCCGAUUAAUCCAGAUGUAUGGGUCUCCGCCUUCAAAUGAUGGCAGUUCCACCUUCUUCCUCCAAUUGUUUGCAAUUCCCCAGUCUCGCCCCUCCCUGGGUUCUCGUUCACCGAACUGCUGCUCCCUUCAGAACCACCCCCUUGAUGGUUCGAACCUCCACCCAUCAUUUUCAUCAAUUGCUGUACGUCGCGUCUGAUCGCCGCGGUCUCAUCCUUGAUUCCCUCAACCGUGAUCUCCAAGUUAUCUAAUCUUCCCUCCAUCUCACUCCCCAUCGCUGGCUCUUCUCCUUCGGGAUCCGACAGGUCGAACCAAAUGAUAGGUUCUUGUAAUCAAGAACCUAUGGAAAACACACAAAGAACAAUUCCUCUGAAUUGUAUAGCCUUCUUUUAUUGCAAAGAAUCAGAAAGAAUGGUGCGUACAAGGUAACCCGAGAGCUUAACCUCCCUCCAAAGAACUAAAAUAGUUCCCGCAAAAACAACAAUACUCCCAAAAGUCCCCGACUAAACUCCCUACUCCCUCUUUUAUACAUUCUGCUAACACUAACAGAACAACCCCCCCAGUUAGGCCCUGUAACGUUUCUUUUCUGUUUCUUCAUGACGCUUUCUAUUAGUUGAAAUUUAAUUUCCUUUGCUUUAGUUUCCUUGCUUUUGAAUGUGAAACCUGAAAUUUUAAGAUUUGAGUCAAUCAGUCACCUGGAACAAUUACUUAGAAUGACUCUAAUUUGACUAGCCAAAGACUCUUUGUACUUGCUUGACUGGAGUGGCUCAACUUGUUUCCAUUUCUGAGAGUCAUAAUUUGAUGUUUAUUUUUGUAUUCUGCUAUGAUAUCUCUUUAUUUUGUUGUUGAUAUUUUAUUGUCACUUCAAUUCAGCUCCUGAAGUGGUUGAGAAGCCUGGGGAUACCUCAUUGGCAAGGCUUAAAGUGUUAUACACUCAAGCAAAAGAUCUUUCGGAAAGUGAAGCAAGGUAUGUUUAAUCUGUCCAUAGCUCAGAAACAUUUUAUAUAAAUUACAUUUUAUUUUCAUUUAUGCUUAAAAUCUUUACGCCAUGCAUUUUGAUAUCAGAGUCACUUGAUAUACUUCCAGGCUUGGCAUUCUAUUGCAUAUGAUUUCUUGUAUUGAUUUUCAAUGCAGUAUUUCCAACUUAAUGUUAAGCCAAAUCGAUGGAAUCCUGCCUACGGGUCCACAGGGGCAAACACGAAGAAGAAUAGGUUUGCCUCAAAUUUUUGACAAAUAUGUUCUUUCAUUUGAAGCAUUAUCAUAUCUGUUAUAUAUUUAGAAUUCAUCCAUAAGAUAAUUAUAUUCAUCUUUCACUUGAAAUAUUAUCACCUCUGUACGUAGGCUUGGAAAUUUAGAAUUUGUUGACAAAAUAAAUACUGUCAACGUAGAACCUUUUAGUAUGUUGCUCUUUUAAUAUUUUCUUUUCAUUUGUGUUAUGUAUUAACCACAAAGACUAGGUAUGAUUAACCAUAAUUAUACAACCCAAGCAAGGGUUGAAAGCAUUAGAGAUAUGCUUUUUCAGGGGAAGGAAUGUAGGAAGUAAAUAAAAUAAGAAAAGGGGGAGGAAAAGAAUGUCUCACAAUUUUGUGACAACUACAUGCCAAAUUUUAAUUCAUUUGAUGUAAAUUUUUGGUUGUUUUAAGAUCUUUUCUUUCCCUCCUUUUUUUUUUCUUUUCCAGGAAAAGGUAAAGUCUACUCUUUGGAUACUCAUCUCUGCUGCAAUGUGGGUCAGUCCUGUAUAGUCCUGCUACAUGAAGAAAAUGGGGGAGGGAGGGCAUGCUAACGUGUAACUUAAAGUAAAACUGAAAUUGUGUAUUAAUCAACUCAUUUAUAUUUUUACAUUCGUUCCUUUUCUGCCGAUAUGGUGGAAGUAGAAUGGAAAAAGUGCUGGGUAUAUCUACGAAAAUCAUGAUUUGGAGGUGCAGAUUAGCCAAACUUAUAGAUCGUUAGCAAGAGUGUUUUAGCAUGCUUUUGUUAUCCCCAGCUAAUACAUGGUGAUGCAUUGCUCCCCAACAAUACGGUAAUGAUUUUGUACAACAUUCAGUUGAUAAAGCAAGGCUAUGCAAACAUAUGAAUCAAAAUACGAACAAAUAUGUGGAAGCGUUUAUGGAGUAUUGUGGUUGAAGCAAAUAAUUUCCUUAAACUUUGUUAUUAUUAUGAUUUCCUUGAGAUUCUAGUUUCUGUUUACCUAGUCUAGCUCCUGAGUAUAUCUGUGUUACAGAAGGUAAUGAGCAGAAAAGGAAACGAGUAAAGACUGAGUCCGAUAUUUCAAGACUAAAUCCUACUAUGCGACAUCAUCUUGAUGCUUGUGCCAGUCUUAAAGGAGAACAGGUAUCCAUUUGCACUGAAGUUUAAUGAAUACAAGUCAAAUACUCCAUUAACAUUUAUUGACAAUGUUUUUAUCCAUGUUAGUUAUACUGCAUGUGUGAGCAGUACAUUGCAUUUGAUAACUUUGUCUGUUUAAAGCUUACGUGAUAGGUUUCUUGGGACACCCUCGGGUUAGCUCACAAAACACACAACACUCAGUCUCACAAGGGAACAAACUGUAUUAUUAUUCUUGUAACAAAGAAUGAUGUCCGUAAGCAUCCAAGGGAGCAAUCCUCCCCUCACACAGGAUGGAAUGCUCCUGUCAAAACAAAGAUACAAAAUAGACGUGUCCUCUUAAGACAAUCUUUCCCCCUAACUGCCCUCCUAACCCUCCUAACAACUAUGCCCUGUUUUUUAUUUCCUUUCUCCUUACAUAAACUCUCAAGGUCUUAUCAUUACUCACCGGCCUUUGGACGACCUUGUCCUCAAGGUGAAAGUCUGGAAAUUGUUCCCUUAUUGUCACCUCAAUCCUCCCAUGUAGCAGCUGGCCCUCCUUCCUGCCACUCAAUGAGCAUCUGUGGUGCUGGUUCUCCUUGCAACUGAUUUGUUCCCCUUUCCAACACCUUGAGGAGACAACAAACUGGCCCUCCCCCUGGUAGGUCCUCCGAUAGUUCCCUUUCCACUUGUUGGGUGCCAUCGCCACUUUAAGUUGAGACACAUGAAAGAUUGGGUGGAUACAGGCUAUCUUUGGCAGCUGCAUCCCGAGAGCCACUUGAAGCUGGUGUUAUACACCACGGAAGAACAUAACUCCAACUUUUAGGCUGUUCUGAACUGAAGCAUCUUAAGUACUUUUCUAAGGUCUUAUUAAGAACCUCGACCAUCUUUUUCUGGAUGGUAGGCAAUGCUUAUAAGUAAUUUAGUACCCUGGAGCUUAAACAACUCCUUCCAAAACAAGCUAAGGAAGGUUGACUAUAGAGGAGGGUAUACCAUGCAGUUUUACUAUGUCCCUCACAAAAACUUUUGCUUUAGACUUCGUUGAGUAUGGGUGCUUAAUGGGUAUAAAAUGACCAUAUUUACUGAGCCUAUCCACCAUGACCAACACUACAUCAUACCCAUUGGAUUUGGGUAAACUUACAAUGAAGUCCAUGUUGAUUUCCUCUUAUAGAGCCUGCGAAAUAGGUAGAGGUUGUUAUAACCCUUGAGGUGAAGAAGCUAAGUACUUCUGCUACUGGCAGACCAAUCAAGCAGUCACAAAAUCUGUUACUACCUUUUUCAUCCAUACCCAAUAUAACAAUUGGGCGACCUUUCUAUACGUUUUGAAGACCUUGGAAUGCCCUCUAGUGGCAGUCACAUGAAAUUCUGCUAUCAACUUCGGGAUCAAUGUUGACUGGGCAGACAGAACCAACCUUUCUUUAUAAUGAAGGUGGUUAUGUUCCAACGUGAAAGCUCGGUGAGAGCUUGGGUCUUCUAUUAGAUCCCUCCUGAUUUUUUGUAGCACCGGGUCUCCUUUUACCUCCUCCAGAACAACCUGGAACUCCUACCAAAAGGGUGUAGUAAUCACCCUAAGUUCCUUCUCCUCCUUCCCCUUCUCCUCAGCCUUCCUGGAUAGGGCACCUGCCAUCCUAUUGGAGGCCCCGAACCUGUACACUAUCUCAAAUUCAUACCCUAGCAAUUUAGCCAACUAGUUCUGUUGGUUUUGGGUGGUUAUCCUUUGUUCCGGGAGGUAUCUCAAACUCCUCUGGUCUGUAUGGACCAAAAAUUUCUCUGCCUAAUAGGUACGAUCUCCAUUGCUGGCUAACACCAAAGCCAUCAACUCCUUCUCAUAAAUGGGCUUGGAAAGAGCAGAUUUUGACAAUGAUUUACUGAAAUAGGUGAUAGGCUCUUAUUCUAUGAUAACACAGCUCCUACCCCUCUUCUGGAUGCAUCACACUCUACAUGGAAAGUUUGAAAAAAAUUAGGCAAUGCCAACACUGGGGUUGUAGUAAUGGCUUCCUUAAGGUCUUGCAUGGCCUCCGUGCUUUGUUGUGUCCAGUCAAACUGUCCUUUCUUUAGCAAGUUUGUUAAAGGCCUAACUAUCCUUCCAUAAUUCCAUAUAAACCUUCUAUAAUAUUUGGUAAGGCCUAGGAAUCCCCAUAGAGACUUGAUGGUUCUAGGAAUAGGCCAUUCUAGCAUAACGUCCACUUUCUCCCUGUCCAUCUCUACUCCCUGUCUGGAUAUCACAUGGCCCAAGUACUUGAUUUGUCUCCUCCCAAACUCACAUUUCUUCCUAUUAGUGAAACAUUGUUGCUGACAUAGUGUGUAUAGUUCUUGUUUGAGGUGCUCUCUAUGCUCCUCAAAUGACUUACUGUAUACUAGUAUGUCAUCAAGGAAGACCAAAACGUAAUUCCUUAAGUAAAGCUUCAAGACCGUGUUCAUCACACACUCAGGUGGGGCAUUUGAUAGGCCAAAGGGCAUGGCCAGGAAUUCAUAAUGCCCUUGGUGUAUGCAGAAGGCUGUUUUUUGGAUGUCUUCUUCUUUCUUCCAUAUUUGAUGGUACCUAGCCCUUAGAUCCACUUUUUGAAAAGAAGCUUGCCCCUUGUAGUUCACCAACAGCUCCUCUAUAACGGAUAUUGGAAAUUUGUCCGGAAUUAUUGCCUUGUUUAAGGUCAUGUAGUCAAUGCAAAACCUCCAACUGCUAUCCCUUCUCUUCACCAAGAUCACUGGGCUAGAAUAGGGGUUGUUGCUAGGCUUAAUUAUCCCCAUUCCCAGCAUUUCAGCCACCUGCUUCUCUAUUUCAGAUUUCUAGAGAUGAGGGUACUGAUAGUGCCUCACAUUAAUAGGGUCCACUCCCGCCUUAGUUGGGAUCUUAUGAUCUAGGUAUCUCUUGGGUGGCAGUUCUGUGGGCUCUUUGAACGUCUCUCCAUAUUUCCCCAAGACCUCCUCAAGUUUUGGGGCCUGGCUGGAGGUUAAUUGGUCCUCCCCUUUCUCCCUUUCUUUCAACUUAGUCUGUCUCAAACUCCAAACCAAUGUGACAGCCUCAAUCUCUGUUUCUUUCAGCAGUGCCUUAGGUGUCACCACUUUCUUUGUUUGUGUGAGGUCUCCUCUAAUCAACACCUCCCUUUCACCCUAACAAAAACUCGUAGUUUAGUUUAUCUAGUUGAUCUUAACUUCCCCUAGUGAGACCAGCCAUGUUACUCCCAAAAUCAGAUCCACACCACCCAGCUCAAACAAGUAAAAUCUCUCCUUCACCUCCAAACCUUCCAAUAAUAGUGGGAUGACAACAUCCACUAAUUUUCUUCUUAUGUCCAUCCACUAGUUUAGUUUUCUUCUUAUGUCCAUCACCCAGUAGGGAGAAGUUUCCUCUACUACCAGGCCUAAUUCAGCCACUAGUUUAGCCAAAAUAAAAUUGUGGCUUGGGACGCUAUCAAUUAACACUAGCACUUGCUUCCCUUUCACCCAUCCUUGUAAUUUCAUAGUAUUAGAUUGUGUUAAGCCCCUUGCUGAAAAAACCAAGAGCUCCAUCUGCCUCUUCUUCAUUUCUUCCUCCUCUUCCCCUUCACCUUCCUCCUCAUCUUCAGCCAUGAUCAAUAUCCUCAUAUUUUUUUCUGGACACCUUUGGCCUGGGCUAUAGGACCCCUAUAGUGAAAACAUCUCCUUUCCUCUCUUCUCUGGAUAUAUUCUAGGUAAGGCAGAUUCCUUAUCCCCCUUUCCUUCUCCUGUAGUGUUCCCUCCAAUCUUGGAGCCCACUGUGGUGUUGGUCCCAUCUUUCCUUGCGGUGCUUACAUUGCUAGAGGUACCCUAACCACUUUUGGCCCUUUUGAACGAUUCAGUUCUGGAAAUGGCACCAAUUCCCUCUUGAUACCUUCUAGAAGAUUGACUAUUUCUAUUGGCCAUUCCUCCUCCCAAUCUUGGAUCUUGAGUGACCUCCUCCACAUCACUGGCUAUCUCCACAACCCUUAAUAACUCCCUAGAAUUAUGGGGCCUGAUUUGGCUCCUAAUAUCAUUUUGCAAACCCACAAAGAAGUACUCCGGUAAUUGUUCCUCUGUCAACUAGGUGGUUUGAGAUACCAACAUUUCAAAUUCCUGGAUAUAUUCUUCCACUGGUCCCUUCUGCCUUACAACAGCCAGCUUUUCAAAAACAUAGCAUCUAUCUCUUCCUACAAACCUCCUAAUCAAGGCUUCCGCUAGUUCCUCCCAAGAAGGGUUUUUGGUUUUCUUUUUCAAAAAUCUAAACCAAUGAUUGGCUCCCCCUUCCAUGCUAAUGAAGGCCAGUCUCAUCUCUUCCCUGGCUGAAACAUUAUGCACUUCAAAGAACUUUUUUCAGCUCUUGAUAUCCACCCCACCAAAUCUACUCCCUCAAAAGUAGGUAAUUCUACUAUUUUCAUCUAGCCCUUUUGUAUUUUCCCCUUUUCUUCCUCUAGAUCCUCCUCAGGUUCUUCCUUCCGUCCCCUUCUUUCCCCAUUUACCGACCCUUGAUUGCCCUCAGAACUUCUAUCCUGGUUCUUUGAUUUCAGCAUAAGUAUCAAAUCUUUUAAGUUCUUGAUGAUUUUCCCUAGUCUCUUCCUUGAGAUCAUCUAUGGCUUUCCCUUGUUCGCUGACCAGCCUCUCCAGUGUACUGACUCUCCCCUCCAUGUUCCUCCUUUUUUUGUGAUCUAGCAUGUCGAAUCAAAUGAUGGGUUUCUUGAUAGCAAGAAACCCAGGACACCCUUGGGUUAGCACACAAAACACACACAACACUCAAUCUCACAAGGGAACAAACCGUAUUAUUAACUGUAUUAUUAUUCUUGUAACAAAGAAUGAUGUUCGUAAGCAUCUAAGGGAGCAAUCCUCCCCUCACACAGGAUGUAAUACUCCUGUCAAAACAAAGAUACGAAACAGACGUGUCCUCCUAAGACACUCUUUCCUCCUAAUAUACCCAACCCCUUACACGAAACACAUAACAGCCAACCACAUAACUGCCCUCCUAACCCUCCUAACACCUAUGCCCUGUUUUCUAUUUCCUUUCUCCUUACAUAAACUCUCAAGGUCCUAUCAUUAUAGCUGUUAGAAAUUCAGUUAUAGUUAGUUCAUUGAGCUGUUCACAGUUGUAAUUCUGUUAUUAAUUUUUUAGCGAAAUCUAUUAUUUGAAUCUCUUACAAGGUUAUGCAUAACUUGUAAUAAUAUUUCCAUAGACACAACUUGUUUAUUUUGAAGAAUGUUUUUUGGAAACAAUUUUCUAAAGUAUCUAGAGUUCUAUUUCUUUGAGUUAAUUUCUUGUCAGGUAGCAGCUAGGGUCACACCACGAAAUGCUGAUAAGGAUGAAUGGUUUGUUGUAAAAGUGAUUCAUUUUGACAAGGAAUCAAAGGAGUAAGUAUAAUAUUAAUUUUGCAAUUUUGUUCUGUUAGUUGCAUAUAAAUUUGGGGUAGUUACUCACCUCCUCUAUGGUUUUUCUUAUGAUACUAACAUUAUUGUUUUUUGUGACUUCACUAAGGUCUGUGUAGACUCUGUGUUUAAUUUUUUAUACACCUAGCAUAUAGGUGUAGUAACAGAAUGUAAAUGCAGUAAUUUUCCAAAAGAGAGGAUUUAGGGUGUAAAAAUGCUGAAUAUAGCAGUAUUUAGUGAAAUUAUCUAUAUUAAUUUUUAAAGACAUACUUAUACCAUUUUAAUUCCUAAAUUGCAUCUUGUUCCACCUGUAACUGGUUCACACUUUCCACUCGGGAAGGGAUAAUUGUUCCUUUUGUUUAAGGUUCCACGUUGACUAAAGAUAAAACUUGUUUAUAGUAUAUAUGUGAGUACGAAUUUCACUUUAUAAAUCGGUUUUGUAGAGUUGAGUUAGGUUUAAAGUCCACUUCUUAACAUGGUAUUAGAACAUAUCCUAAUGAAAUUUGUUGUUUGUUAAGUCUUUUGUUCAACUCGCUAUCUGGUUGCUAUCGAAUUACUUAUUAAUGUCUGAUCCCAUGCUCGAGAACUUGUCAUGCAAUGCAAAUACGUCUCAGUGCAAUGGUAAACUACUUUUGUUUGACCAUUAAAUUAAGGGUGAUGGGUAAAAUGGGGAAUUCUACAAAGAGAAAAAGAAGAGCUAAACAAAUAGGUGCUGGAAUGGGAUGUGCAGAGGACAACAAACCCAACUAUGGCUGGGUGGUGUCCCUUCGUGCUUGAAGACUGCAGGUGGGCAACACUCGCCUGACAUGCAUGACGAAGAGGAUGUGCAUUCAGGUGUAUGAAGUAGUUUCUACUCUCAAGACCGGUGGAAUUGGUAGUGGUUUGCCUUUUUUGGUGGUGUGGGGAAGAAGAAGAUGGAGAGGAAAGGAUGAAAUAAAAAACUCAAAUUAAAUAAAUAAAAAUAAAAAUAAAAAUUUAGAAUACUCACCCAUGACACCCACCAAACAGUUAACGUUAAUUUAACUGCAAGGCCAACAUUGUGUGAUUUAAACAAAAUUGGGACUCAAUUGAGUCAAAAACAAAAUAUGGGGAAUCAAUUGAAUAUUUACCUUCAAUAUAGGGACCAAAAUUUUGCUUUUGACUCAAUUGAUUUCCAAUUUUUUGUCACCCACCAUCUUUUAUUUUACUAGAAUCAUAGUGUUAGAAUAGGGGCUAAUACUAGGUGUAAUGGUUCUUGCUUUCAACAUAUCAAAAACCAACUUUUCAAUCUCAUUUUUCUGAUGAUGUGAGUAUUUGUACGACCUUAGAUUUGGGAUAGAAGCUCCUUUUAAAUGGAUAGCAUGAUCCUAUGUCUUUCUCGGAGGUAAUGUCGUUAAAUCUUGAAAAAACGUGGUAUUUAAAUCCAGCAUGCGAGGCACCUCUAUAGGUCCGAGUUGAAGAUUGGGUUCUUCCUGCUCUAGGUCUACCAAACACCCUAUAUCUUCUUUCCGUAAUUUCUUUAUCAAUUUUUUCAAUGAUGUUAAUGUGGUAGAUAAUGCAGCAUCUCCUAUAACCAUUUGCUGUGACUCACCCCUUCCAAUGGUCAAUUUUAGUUUCCCAAAAUUAGCCUUAACCUCUCCUAAACUGGCCAGCCAUUCUAUUCCUAAAAUCACAUCAACUCUUUCCAGAUAAAAAAUAAAGACAUCUUGUUGGAUGAUCAACCCUUGUAACUCCAAAACAUAUUCUACGCAUUUUCCUUGACAAUGUACCUUGUGACCAUCUCCUACCUCCACAUAAGGACGGGUCUCUUCAUAGCCCGUAUAUAUACACAACUUCUUGAGAUGAAAUUUUGAGAUGUCCCAAAAUCUAACAAGACUAUAAGCUCCACAUCUGCAAUCUUGCCCCAACCCUGCUAGGACUUAGUGGUAGGACCCGCCAUAGUAAGCAUGGAUAGUUGCAAAGCUUUAUCUUCUUCAACAUCUUUCUCCGUGUCUCCUUUGCAAUUCAAUAAUCCGUCAUAACUUGAUAAGUCUUCCUCAGUUACUAACAACAUGUCUAAUUGCUUAUUCCUACACACAUGGUUAAGUCCAAAUUUCUCAUCACACCAUAACCACAAUCCUUUCUUAAUUUUAUCUUGCAUUUCCUCAUUUGAUAAUUUGUGAAAUGUGGCUCCUCUGUUGCAGUUGAUUCCCUCAGCUUUAUUGGGAGAAUUCAUGACUUCCACAGUUUCCCCUUUUCCUCUCCCAAUAAUGGCCAUGUGAUUGCCUCCUUCCCGUGAAUAACUUCUCAUUGGCCAACUUGACCUAUACCAUGUUCCCCUUAUCUAGUGAACUUGAGCUUUAUUAGACUUAUUGUGCUACUUGCUAUCGAGCUAUUUAAGACUACUCACAAAUAUCUAGUUUCAGGGACGAGAUGCCCAUGUCUUGGCAUAAAGGUGGUGUAUUGGAGAUUCCACUUUGAUAAGGCCAAUUCACAAUUUAUAAAUAGAGACAAAUUUCACUUUACAAGUUGGUUUUGUGAGAAUGAAUUUGAUUUAAACUCAUUUUCUAGUACUUAAUGACAAGCUUAGUUGCUUUAGGACUUAAAAUAAACCUGUUGCAACUGUUGUAAUCCGGUUAUUUUUUCACAAAGGAAAAAUUUAUUAAAAGUAGUGUUUCUUGUGUAUGAUUUGUAAUCAGUAACUGAAGGAAUAGUUUUCAUCUUGACAUAAGUAUUGUUUAAUUCCCCUUUUCAUUAUUUUAUUUGAUGUUCGUGAUUUGUUUUACAGAUUUGAAGUACUAGAUGAGGAACCAGGUGAUGACGAAGAAAGCAGUGGCCAAAGGUAACGUACCAUAUUAUGACAUUUGUCAUGUUUGGUAAUUGCCUGAAGUUAUGUCAUGUGCUUGCUUUGGUGGAAGUAUCAUCUUAAACAUACUUGGGAGUUUCGUUCUUUGCACGUGUAUUAAAUUGUUACUCCAUUUGAAAGGCAUGUUUAGUUCAUUUGUUUCUCUUUCUACAUUCAGACAGUACAAGCUUCCCAUGGGAAAUAUCAUUGCUUUUCCCAAGAGUAAUGAUCCUUCUAGUGCUCCAGAUUUCCCACCUGGAAAACAUGUUUUGGCGGUCUAUCCAGGAACUACUGCACUUUAUAAAGCAACAGUUGUUCAAGGCCCUCGCAGAGUAAUAAUUCUCUCAUUUUCUUCAGUACAGUGAGAUUAUUUCCUGAUUCCCUUUCAUUAUUUUGUAGCCUGUUAAUCCCUGCCGUUAGUUUAACUUUUGUGACUCAGAUUACAUACUGACCAAUAUUAUUUCCCAUGUUCUGGGUUAUUCUUCAACAUUUCGUAACUGUGCAGAGGAAAACCGAGGAGUAAGUAUACUUCAUUAAGCCUUCACGGAAUGCUUGCUUUGUUAUAAAUAUUAUCUAUUUUAACCAUAGAAAAUCAAGUCACAUCACGAUUUGGUUUUACUUUCUACCCCUUUGUUUGGUUUAAUGAACAUAAAGAGAUGGGAAAUUCAUAUUUUUAAUUUUUUUUUCUUAAACUUAAAUAAAUGUUUUUUCUAACAUAAAAUAAUUUUACGUUAAGAAUAAAUUUUUAAUAAUAUAGGAAAUUUUAAAUUAUAGUCGGUAUAAAAGGUUGUUAUAUAACUUAAUUUUUUUAUGCUCAUUCGUCCAGAUAAGCAAAAAGAAAUUUCUAAACUUUAUUCCUUAUUUUAAUUAUGCAAAUAACAUACCUUUUAUAUUAUAUUUUCUUAAUAUUUCUAUCCUUUAUAUUUUGUGUUGCUUUUCUUCCUAAUUGAGUAAUAGUUUAUGCCCUGUUUGAUUACUUUCUGUGGUGAUUGGAACAGCUAUGUGUUGGAAUUUGAUGAUGACGAAGAAGAUGGAUCUUUACCUCAAAGGACUGUGCCCUUCCAUAAAGUAGUUCUUCUUCCAGAAGGACAUCGCCAAUGAGCUUUAAACUAUUUAUAGGUGUGUAUAAAGUAGAAACUACACUAUUGCAUAUGUGCCAGUUGCGUAGUAUGCUGUGUUAUGUUUUUUUUCAAGAUUGACAUCCCAACUUAGUUUCAAGCAUGUAAGAAUGACAGCGUAGUUCACCACUGCGUAUAAAUGAUAAAUAGAUUGUGACAACUUUGUUACACUUCCCUGUCUUUAUCAGUAAUGAGAUACUAUUAUUAAUAGGAGAAAGAGAGUCAUCUUUUGUGAACCUUUUUUUCCAAUUAAACCUAUUUUAAAGAGAAUAAAAAUUGCAAAUAAGAUAAUCAGGAAAAAAAACAAAUAAAUUGUUUUCGGAAACCGAAAUCUUGUAGUUUUUCUAUAUUCUUUACUUGUAUAGAUAACGAACAAAAAAAGGAUUUGAAACAAGAAAUAAUGAAAAUUAAACCAAAUAAUUAAAAGUGUUUUGAUACCGUAUUUUUUUUAAGGUUUAAUACCUAUUUUGGUCCCUCUUUUGGGAGGGUUUGUUCAAAGUGGUCCUUCUUUUUUUAAAAAGUUCACUUAAAUCUCAGCUUUUGUAAAAAUUGAGCAAAUAGAUCCUUUUUGGUAACGGCGUUAAUUUUGUUAACGGCAGAGCUGCCAGGUGGCUAAUAUCUGAUAAGGCUUAAUACCUCCAAUGGUCCUCUGUUUUGUCAACUAAUCAUAUUUUGGUCCUCAAGUUUGCAACCAUUUCAAUUUAGUCACAAUUUUUGAAAAUAUGCACACAUUGUAUCCCAUCCGUUAAGGGGUAGCAGACGACCGUUAAGUAUUGUCCACGUGUUGGAGUGAGAAUGUGGUGAGGUGUUAUUUUUUUUUACGUGUCCUGUUUCAUUAAAAGGAACAUUGAUGAUGUGGCAUUAGAAUUGGAUUUAGGGUUAAAUGGGAUCAGAAAUUAGAAAUUGGGAUUUAGGGUUGUGGAGCUUUAGGGAUUUAGAGGAUCUACCUCCGACAACCACACUGCCCCCACCCAACAGCCAUCGUGUCGUCACCAAAAACGUCACCGGCGACCACCAUCCCAAUCAUCAAAACCAUUGCGCCAUGGAGGCAUUUGAAGCAGUCACUCCCUUUGCGCUUGCCAACCUCUCCGGUCAGCUUUCAUAUCACCGAAGUUGCAGCAGCCGCCACCGGAGUCAAAGCCGGUCCCAACCACUCUCUCUCCUCCUCUCACGCUUGCCUAGGGUGAGUUACCGCCGACGUCUUCCCAUCCCUAUUUGGUAACGCUAGUGCCGUCGGCGAUGUUGCUCGCCUCUAUUAUUCUCACUGUCCCGACCAACGUUCCUCCGGUGACUUGUCAACACUCACAGGAUUCUCUGGGUCGCGCACGCAUCAAAGAGAUGGUGGCAGCACCGAGAGAUCUAUUCCGGCAGAGGAGACAACAAAUGGGACCGGAGAAUUUCCAAUGAGUUCCAAUUUAGGGUUUUGAAAUUUUAGCUAAUUUGGGAUGUAUGGGUUUAAUUUGUACUACGUUUCCCUUUGCUGAUUCAAUCGAAACACAGUGAUAAUUUGAUGGAGAAAGAAACCGAACAAUCAGGUUUCUACUGCUUUGACCCUUUCUAUUUUUAUGGUAAUGCUUGAUAUUUGGCUUUUACUCUGGUCACAGGGCAAUGGUGGGGAUGAGUUGGUUUAUUCAUUAUGGUUAUUUUGGGUUGUUGAUUGGCUCGGGUUCAUUCGAUAGGGAUGAGAUGUUCAUCACAGGUGAAGGGCGUUUCGAGAUAGGGAGUGAUUAUACGGCUUGCAAGGGAGAAUUUAUACUUUUUUUUGUUUCGUAUGAAAACUGACAUGAAAAGGGGAUACAUAUGAUUCUGCCUCUGUUUUCCUUCUUAUUACCUGUGUUUUCUGGGUGCAAGUAAAUGGAUAUUGAAGUCUUGAUGUUGGGGAAUAUACACUGUUUUCUACUGUUAGCUAUUGCAGGCAUUGAAGUCUUGUUCUCCUUCUUUCUCUUGUGGUGAUGAUGCCACAUCACCACUAAACAGUCCACGUAAAAAAAAAAACACCUCACCACAUUCUCAUUCCAACACGUGGACAACACUUAACGCCGUCUACUACCACUUAACGGAUGGGAUACAAUGUGUGCAUAUUUUCAAAAAUUGUGACUAAAUUGAGACUGUUGCAAACUUGAGGACCAAAAUGAGAUUAGUUGACAAAUCAGAGGACCAUUGAAGGUAUUAAGCCUAUCUAAUAAUGUGGCAUUGUUAUGUGUUUUAAAAAAAUAAAAAAUUGUGACGUGUAAAUUAAAAUAGUUAGGGUUAAAUUAAAAAAGGAAAUUGGGGUAAAUAAUUAGGGAUUUGAGUUGUUCGAAUUAGGGAUUGGGAUUGGGAAAACUUCAAACUGUAGGGGUUCACGGAAAUUGGAAAUCAAUUGCACAAAUUGGUAAUACAAUUUGAAAUUGGGAAUCAAUGUUCAAGCAUGACGCCAAAAAUAAUUUAUUUAAAGAAAAGAAAUUGUGUUCAAAAUCAUGAAAGGAAUUGGGAAUUUGCAGGACCUGGCGAAAGAGUUGCAGAACAAGAUUCCGAAGCAAAAAAUUUGAGGAGUGCUGAAAUUGCUUCGGUUCUUGUUAGGUUGCUUCAAUCUUAGUUCGGCGUGGUGUUGUUCGGGAUUUGAGAUUGAACUGCAAGGUUGAAGUUCAACAUAGAUCCAAGUCAAUCAUUUGCAGACACGCACUCUCUUUCUCUCACUCACUCACUAACUCUAGCUAUUGUUGUUGUGAGGUUUCAACUGAUUUGAAAAUCCCACUUGAAAUCGAUGUAAGUGCAAUUGUUCGAAUUAGGGAUUGAGAUUGGGAAAGCUUCCUAAAUGUGAAUGAACCCUAAUUUUUCAAAUUGUAUUGUCAAUCUGUGCAAUUGAUUCCCAAUUUCCAUGAACCCCUACAGUUUCAUAAGAAGGAAGUUUUCUCAAUCCCAAUCCCUAAUUCGAACAAUUCAAAUCCCUGAUUAUUUACCCCAAUUUCAUUUUUUAAUUUAACCCUAACUAUUUUAAUUUACACGUCACAAUUUUUUAUUUUUUUAAAACACAUAACAAUGCCACAUCAUCAGAUAUUAGCAGUUCUGCCGUUAACAAAGUUAACGCCGUUACCAAAAAGGACCUAUUUGCUCCGUUUUUACAAAAGCUAUGAUUUAAGUGAACUUUUUAAUAAAAGGAGGACCGCUUUGAACAAACCCUCCCAAAAAAGGGACCAAAAUAAGUAUUAAAUUUUUUUUUUUUAAACAAACGUCAAAUUGGUUUGAAGUAAUAAAAAAAAUCAGUGAAUGUUUGUCAGAUAUGCUAUAAACUUUUAAAGAAAGAGAAAAAAAAAGAAAAGAUGCAUGUUGCGAUAUCAAUUACAUCAUAAUUAUUUAUUAUAUAUUAAAAUAUUAAUUUUGUUGUAAACUAAGCUAUGUAGUUUGAAAAUUUUACUAUGCUUAUGGAUAAUUUGACAUUUAAAUAAGGGUUAAAUAUAUUGUUUUGGCUUUUUAAACUUUAAUAAUGAAUAGAUAUAGUUUUUUUUCUAACUCAAUUACGUUAAAUUUUUUUGGAUGUGUCAACGGACGUUUUAUGUUGUUGUUUGAGUUAUUUAUAUUAUUUUUGUACAUUCUAAUUCAAAUAUCAAUUUUAUACAUUUUAGUUCAAAUAUCAAUUUGAAAGCCAUUUAACACAAAAAUUAACACUGGUUAAGAGGAUUAUAUAAUUUAUUUUUAAAAUUUGAAAACUAAAAUAUAGCAAAGUUUCAAAUAUAGAUUACUCCAUUUUUGCAUCUGAAAAGACUAAAAAUAUAUUUAAUUCUUUAAAUUAUAUAUUUUAUUGAUUAAACAAUAGUAUUGAAAUAAAAUAAUUUAUGAAUAAAUGAUUAAAUAGUUUUUAAAUAAAGAAUUAAAUUGAAAGUUAAUAAUUGAAUGUAUGAAAAACAAUGUUACAAAAUAGUUAUAAUAGUAUUAAAUAAGAUGAAUUUUAUGUAUAAGUAAUAGUUCUAUAAAUUCAUUUCGCAAUGUGUGAAAGAACAGUUUAAUUGUUUCUGUAAGAAAAGAAAUGUCUUAUAUCAAGUUAAGAGGAAUCAAUUGGAUUAAGUCUUAAAAAAUUGGUUUUUUCAAAAUCAUUGUGAAAUUUUUGAUUUUCUUGAAAUUGAUAAACAAGAAAUGAUGAAUCAACAAUAAAAAAGAAAAAGUAUACAAACAAUCUUUAUUGGUUCGGCUAAUCACAAACCUACAUCCAGUCCUCCUUCAACAAUCUUAGUUGAAGGGAAUCUACUAAAAGUUGAUUGAGUUUACAUAAAUAUAGAGGGUUCUAUAAUCAAAAUCAAUAUAGCAAUACAAGAGAUGAAUAACCUCACUCUCUUACAAUAAUUGAGAACACUUACAGCUCUCAACCCCUAGCAAACCUGAACAGGUACACAAACAUAGAUUGUCUAUGAUGAAUCUGAUCUUAAAGUCUCCUUUAGUGCAUAUCAAAUCAAAACAACUUUAGGCCACUUUUCUUGAAAGAAUCUUGAUGUAUAAGCAACUAAUGUAGCCUUGAUUCUCAAGAUUUCUUCUUGAACACUCCUGUAAUCAAAACUCAAUGUAAACGUUAGUAUUUGAAAGUGAUAGCAAUUGAUUGUUUUGAAAAAGAACUCAAGACGCAAAUAUAUAGAAUUUUUUGAAUCCUGACGCAUUAUAAUCGAUUAAGGAUUUUAUGUGAUCAGUUAAGUUUUUGCUUCUGUUUUAACAGAUUAUUCUGAACAUGUAAUCGAUUAUAUAAGCACAUAAGCUAGUUAUUGAUUCCAUUGAUAGUUAUAAUAGAUCAGGCUAUUAAUGAAAUGGAUUUAAGCAAAGUAAACUAAUUUAAUUGAUUAGACAACUUAUGUAAUCUAUUAAUCCUAUACUUAACCAAAUUGUCUAUCCAGUUUCCAUUAUAAACAGAAUUUAUCACUUAUGAAACAUAUAAUGACAUUGCUUUCUAUUUUAAUCGAUUAGAUAACUUAUGUAAUCAAUUACUACAAAGCAGUAUACCCCUCUUAAGCAUACAAAGUGAACUGGUGAAAUCUAACAAGUUUAUAUACUACGUUAAAUCGAUUAUUUCAUCCAAAAAUGAGAUUAUUAAUCACUUUAACACAUGAUUCAUUUAAUACAAAUGAAUUCUCAUAUCAAGCACAAAGAAGAUUUAGAUAAGACAAUUUUUAUACCAUUUGUUAUGCAAGAAACUAUAAAACCAUUUUCUUGUUCAUCAUCAAAAACAAAGAUAUAAAGGGUAGGUUUAGUUCCCCCUAUCAACAGUUUGAAGACCCAAGGUUGAAAUUGUAACACUUUGUUCAGGAUGUCAUAGGUAGUUUAUAAGACAUUCGUUAACUUAAAAUACACAACUUCAAAUACCACCACGAAAUAAUGAAAUUAAAAAAGUUUAUUUAAAUAUGGUAUCAAAAUUAAAACCACGCAGAAGUAAACAUCAUUCUAAUUAUAUCGUUAAAAGAUUGAAAAUUUAAAAUAAAAUCAUUGUCUCAAAUACAUUUCAAAAACUCCCAUAAGAUUUUCCCACACAUCUCCUUGUUUUAGACAUCAACAAUAUCAUCUGUAAUAUCUUCUGCUCGCAUAUAAUAACACGAGUUUUACGAUCAUCGUAUAAGCACAAACAAGCAAGAGAGAGCUAACCAGAAAAUAAUAUAAGAUAGUAACCAAUAACCACCGAGAGCAAGGGAAAUGAUCCACUUGAAGGACUUGGAAGACCUAUGAUAAGGGUCAAAUCAAGGAAAGCAAAUGAAGCUCUUCAACAACUGUUGUCCAUAUUAAUUGAAUACUAGCCCAAAUAUCAAGGAGAAAAAUGGUGAAUUGCAUUAUGGUUCAAAUGGAAGAGAAUUAAAGCAUCAUUUUUGUUGCUAUUUUAUUUUAUAAGUGUUAGAAUUUCCAUAUCGACUAGAGCUAAGACCAAAUUAUAAUAUACAAGUGAGGUGCAAACUUCACCUUACAAGCCGAUUAUGUGGGGUUGAGUUAGACUUAAAACUCACUUUUUAAUAUGGUAUCAGAGCGAUGCUUAAAACUCACUUCUUAGUUUGUUUUUUAAAAUAACUCAAUCUUUGUAAAAUUGACUGACCAAAUUAUGUGUGAUAUAUUGUGUUAUGUUUGAAUAUAGUUGUAUUGUGUGUUAUUUAUUAAGCUGCUUCAUUAUGUAAUGACUCGACAGUUCGGUUGGUACUAAAAGAUAAAAUUGUUGUUAUCUCGUUGGUCAUGAUUUGGAUCGAGAUAUAGUAUUUCGUUUAAGUUUUCCUAGAUUUGAUUAUGUUGGGAAAAUUUAAUAUUUUUUGUUAUCUUUGUAAUAUUUACAUAUUGUUAUUAUUCGUUGCAACUAAAAUGUUCUCUUUCUUGAAGAAUAAAAACUACUUAUUCUUAAAUAAAAUGUUCCCUUAGUUUUUAAAUAAGAAAUUCAUAAAAAUAUUUCGAAUUAAAUCUAGAAUCCAUUUUCAAAUUAUGCACUUUAGUCAUACUUACAUUCCAGACCAUAUAAUUUGAAACAUGUUUCCAAAUUUCACAAUUUAACCAUGAACAUUCAUAUUGAAGUGGAGGCAGAAACUAUAGUAGUAAAAAGAGUAAUUACCCAACCUUUGGUGCCUAGUGUAGACCGAAAUAUUUAAUGGAUGACAAUUUGAACUAGUUUUCCAACUGUAGUAGUUUCUUCUUACACCACCUUAAUUUCAAAUUGCACCAUCAUCAAUUUUAAAAUUUCAAAUUUACACUUGAGUUUACUAUUUUCCUCUUUAGUUUCAAAUUAUUUAAUCUAAAGAUGUUUUGAAAUGGACAAUUCGAAAAUAAGUUUUCUAUUCCAAAAUGCACAAUUCAAAAUAUAAAAUUUAUAUUCUAUAAAGUAUAUUAUAAAAUAUAAAAUUAAAAUCUACAAAAUUUGUAUUCUGAAAUAUAUAUAUAUAUAUAUAUAUAUAUAUAUAUAUAUAUAUAUAUAUAUAUAUAUAUAUAUAUAUAUUCAAAAUUGUAAAUUCCAAACUGUAUACCAGAUUGUGCAUUACAGAAAAUAAAAAAGAAAAGAAAUUGUGCAAUUCUAAAUGUAUUUUUCAAUAAACAUACACUAACAAAAAAAAAU
This 70764-nucleotide long non-coding RNA is filed under the name Vigna radiata. RNAcentral describes it as "long non-coding RNA (VRAD_LNC018044)". The stretch from base 1 to 221 matches the Rfam family "Plant small nucleolar RNA U3". Lineage: Eukaryota; Viridiplantae; Streptophyta; Magnoliopsida; Fabales; Fabaceae. The record is from RNAcentral.